This 55602-nucleotide long non-coding RNA is filed under the name Triticum aestivum (bread wheat). RNAcentral's name for it is "long non-coding RNA (TAES_LNC008398)". Lineage: Eukaryota; Viridiplantae; Streptophyta; Magnoliopsida; Poales; Poaceae. The record is from RNAcentral.
CAAAAAAAAAACUACGCACACGCAAGAUCAUGGUGAUGCAUAGCAACGAGAGGGGAGAGUGUUGUCCACGUACCCUCGUAGACCGAUAGCGGAAGCGUUAACACAACGCGGUUGAUGUAGUCGUACGUCUUCACGAUUCGACCGAUCAAGUACCGAACGCACGGCACCUCCGAGUUCAGCACACGUUCAGCUCGAUGACGUCCCUCGAACUCCGAUCCAGCCGAGUGUUGAGGGAGAGUUUCGUCAGCACGACGGCGUGGUGACAAUGAUGAUGUUCUACCAACGCAGGGCUUCGCCUAAGCACUGCUACGAUAUUAUCGAGGUGUAAUAUGGUGGAGGGGGGCACCGCACACGGCUAAGAGAUCAAUGAUCAAUUGUGUGUUGUGAGGUGCCCCCUGCCCCCGUAUAAAAGGAGCAAGGGGGGUUCGGCCGGCCAAGGGGAGAGGCGCGCCAGGAGGAGUCCUACUCCUACCGGGAGUAGGACUCCCACCCUUUUCCAUGUUGGACUAGGAGAGAGAGAGGGAAGAGGUGAAGGGGAGGAAGGAAAGGGGGGCGCCGCCCCCCUCUCCUUGUCCUAUUCGGACUGGGGGGAGGGGCGUGCGGCCCUGCCUGGCCUCCUCUCCUCUCUUCCACCUAGGCCCACUAAGGCCCAUUAAGUUACCGGGGGGUUCCGGUAAUCUCCCGGUACUCCGGAAAAAUCCUGAUUUCACCCGGAACACUUCUGAUAUCCAAACAUAGGCUUCCAAUAUAUCAAUCUUUAUGUCUCGACCAUUUCGAGACUCCUCGUCAUGUCUGUGAUCACAUCCGGGACUCCGAACAACCUUCGGUACAUCAAAACAUAUAAACUCAUAAUAUAACUGUCAUCGUAACGUUAAGCGUGCGGACCCUACGGGUUUGAGAACUAUGUAGACAUGACCGAGACACCUCUCCGAUCAAUAACCAAUAGCGGAACCUGGAUGCUCAUAUUGGCUCCCACAUAUUCUACGAAGAUCUUUAUCGGUCAGACCGCAUAACAACAUACAUUGUUCCCUUUGUCAUCGGUAUGUUACUUGCCCGAGAUUCGAUCGUCGGUAUCUCGAUACCUAGUUCAAUCUCGUUACCGGCAAGUCUCUUUACUCGUUCCGUAAUACAUCAUCCCGCAACUAACUCAUUAGUUACAAUGCUUGCAAGGCUUAUAGUGAUGUGUAUUACUGAGUGGUCCCAGAGAUACCUCUCCGUCAAUCCGAGUGACAAAUCCUAAUCUCGAAAUACGCCAACCCAACAAGUACCUUUGGAGACACCUGUAGAGCACCUUUAUAAUCACCCAGUUAUGUUGUGACGUUUGGUAGCACACAAAGUGUUCCUCCGGUAAACGGGAGUUGCAUAAUCUCAUAGUCAUAGGAACAUGUAUAAGUCAUGAAGAAAGCAAUAGCAACAUACUAAACGAUCGAGUGCUAAGCUAACGGAAUGGGUCAAGUCAAUCACAUCGUUCUCCUAAUGAUGUGAUCCCAUUAAUCAAAUGACAACUCAUGUCUAUGGCUAGGAAACAUAACCAUCUUUGAUCAACGAGCUAGUCAAGUAGAGGCAUACUAGUGACACUCUGUUUGUCUAUGUAUUCACACAAGUAUUAUGUUUCCGGUUAAUACAAUUCUAGCAUGAAUAAUAAACAUUUAUCAUGAUAUAAGGAAAUAAAAAAUAACUUUAUUAUUGCCUCUAGGGCAUAUUUCCUUCAACAUACGGAUCUGAAUAUUGCAGACCCAUUGACUAAGCCUCUCUCACGAGCAAAACAUGAUCAGCACCAAGACUCCAUGGGUGUUAGAAUCAUUACUGUGUAAUCUAGAUUAUUGACUCUAGUGCAAGUGGGAGACUGAAGUAAAUAUGCCCUAGAGGCAAUAAUAAAGUUGUUAUUUAUAUUUCCUUAUAUCAUGAUAAAUGUUUAUUUUUCAUGCUAGAAUUGUAAUAAACGGAAACUUAGUACAUGUGUGAAUACAUAGACAAACAGAGUGUCACUAGUAUGCCUCUACUUGACUACCUCGUUAAUUAAAGAUGGUUAAGUUUCCUAGACAUAGACAUGAGUUGUCAUUUGAUUAACGGGAUCACAUCAUUAGAGAAUGAUGUGAUUGACAAGACCCAUCCAUUAGCUUAGCACGAUGAUCGUUUAGUUUGUUGCUAUUGCUUUCUUCAUGACUUAUACAUGUUCCUAUGACUAUGAGAUUAUGCAACUCCCGAAUACCGGAGGAACACUUAGUGUGCUACCAAACGUCACAACAUAGCUGGGUGAUUAUAAAGAUGCUCUACAGGUGUCUCUGAUGGUGUUUCUUGAGCUGGCAUAGAUCGAGAUUAGGAUUUGUCACUCCGAUUGUCGGAGAGGUAUCUCUGGGCCAUCUCGGUAAUGCACAUCACUAUAAGCCUUGCAAGCAAUGUGACUAAUGACUUAGUUGCAGGAUGAUGCAUUACGAAACGAGUAAAUAGACUUGCCGGUAACGAGAUUGAACUAGGUAUUCAGAUACCGACGAUCGAAUCUCGGGCAAGUGACAUACCGAUGAAAAAGGGAACAACGUAUGUUGUUAUGUGGUAUGACCGAUAAAGAUCUUCGUAGAAUAUGUGGGAACCAAUAUGAGAAUCCAGGUUCCACUACUGGUUAUUGACCGGAGAUGAGCCUCGGUCAUGUCUACAUAGUUCUCGACCCCGUAGGGUCCGCACGCUUAACGUUUGAUGACGAUUGGUAUUAUGAGUUUAUGUGUUUUGAUGUACCGAAGGUUGUUCGGAGUCCUGGAUGUGAUCAGAAGGUUAUGUUUGGACACUGGAAAUGUUUCGGAUGAGUUCGGGAAUUUUCCGGAGUACCGGGAGGUUACCGGAACCCCUCGGGGGCUUAAUGGGCCUACAUGGGCUUUAGUGGAAGAGCGAGGAGGCGGCCAAGAGGUGGGGCGCCCCCUCCCCCCAAGCCCAAUCCGAAUUGGGAAGGGGGCCGGCCCCCCUUUCCUUCUUCUCCUCUUCCCCUUCCUUCCCCCUCCUAUUAGGACUAAGAAAGGGGGGAACCUACUCCUAGUAGGAGUAGGAUUCCCCCCUUGGGGGCGCACCAUGAGGGCCGGCCGGCCCCCUCCUCCCCUCCUUUAUAUACGGGGGAGGGGGCACCCCAUAGACACACAAGUUGAUUGUUUUAGCCAUGUGCGGUGCCCCCCUCCACAGAUUUCCACCUCGGUCAUAUCGUUGUAGUGCUUAGGUGAAGCCCUGCGUCGGUAACUUCAUCAUCACCGUCAUCACGCCGUCGUGCUAACGAAACUCUCCCUCGUCCUCAGCUGGAUCAAGAGUUCGAGGGAUGUCACCGAGCUGAACGUGUGCAGAUCGCGGAGGUGCCGUGCGUUCGGUACUUGAUCGGUUGGAUCGCGAAGACGUUCAACUACAUCAACCGCAUUACUUAACACUUUCGCUUUCGGUCUACGAGGGUAUGUGGACAAACUCUCCCGCUCAUUGCUAUGCAUCACAUAGAUAUAUCUUGCGUGAUCGUAGGUAAAUUUUUUGAAAUACUGCGUUCCCCAACACGGACUUACUUCACGACAUCAUCGGCCGCGUUGGUUCUGAGUUUCGGCUGAAGGACUUGGGCGCAUUGCACUUCUUCCUCGGUAUUAAUGUGCGACGUGAUGCCUCCAGAUUUUUUCUUCAUCAAGGACAGUAUGCUCUUGAUCUAUUGGAUCGUGCUGGCAUGACCGACUGCAAACCUGUUGGUACUCCUGCCGAGGCCCAGCCGAAGCUGUCUGACACUGCUGGACAGCCUGCCACUGAUGUCGCUCUCUACCACAGUAUUUUUGGUGCUCUUUAGUACCUCAUGCUCACCAGACCAGACAUUCAGUUUACCGUGCAGCAAGUUUGCUUGCACAUGCACUCGCCUCAUGAUGUUCACUCGUCUCUGGUCAAGCGCAUUCUCUAGUACCUUCACGGCACACUGACCUUCGUCCUUCGUCUUCGUGCCUCCGCCUCCACCGAGCUGUUUGCUUACACUAAUGCGGAUUGGGCCGGCUAUCCUGACACUCGACGAUCUACGUUGGGAUAUUGUGUCUUCUUCGGUGAUUCUCUCACCUCAUGUUCCUCUAAGCGGCAUCCCACCGUCUCCCGCCCGAGUGCUAAGGCCGAGUACCGUGUCAUCGCCAAUGUUGUUGCCAAGACAUGUUGGCUACGUCAACUACUUGGCGAACUUCGGGUCUCAAUCCCGAAAGCUACAGUGGUUUUCUAUGAUAAUGUUUCGGCCACCUACCUCGCGGCCAAUCCGGUGCAGCAUAAGCGCGCCAAGCACAUUGAACUUGAUGUUCACUUCGUCCGCGAGAAGGUUCAGUUGGGUCAGCUCCGUGUCCUUCAUAUACCGACCACCCAACAGUUUGCCGACAUUAUGACCAAAGGGCUUCCAACCGCUGCAUUCUAGGAGUUCCGUUCCAGUCUUUGCAUCGCUGACGCCGACGCUUCGACUGCAGGGGGUGUUGAACGUGACAUAUUUGUAUUACUAUUUCUAUCUUCUCUAGCCAUGUAUAGUUGACUCCUAGAGCUAUGGUAGGAUUAGUUUCCUUGUCACACAAGACAUCGCGUGUAUAUAUUGUGACCAACUCCGAGGAAUACAAUUGAGUUGCAUCCCACAUCUUUCUACAGUUACAACUUGAAGGCAAUUUUGAUAAAACUUGAUUGCAUAGAUGCGUUGACUUUUCUUUGGCUGGAGGCAUCCAUUUGUACUAAAAGGUGUGGAGGGAGAUCCACAUCGGGAUUAUGCACCACAAUUGAAAACUAAGAACUCUAAUCUGAUCUCUUUAGCAAAAGGAACCCUAACUAGCCUAGAGUGCUAAAUUAAGGAACUGAUGUAUGCCACACUAGCUAGUUGGAUCAUAUCUUCAACUGAGCAUCUUUAGCCGAUCAAUACUGGGCACUGAAAUCAGGUGAUCUAAUUUUGUCGUUAGUUGGCCCAACUUGGUAUGUACUUUUUCGUAGGCAUUUACUUUGGCGGGGAUCCUUUUGGUUGGCGUUUAGCCAGACAAAAUUGCAGUUGUGGUGCUAACUGAUGUCUACUCACUAUGGGAAGUAAUUUCGACACUUCAUUUAUUAGUUUGUAGACUUAUCUUGUCUUAAUAUGUGUGAUGUUACUCAUAGUACUAGUGAAGCCUAACUAGCUAUGUUACUCAAUUCAUCUCUCUCCCUAUUAAAUCAUUGCCACAUAAGCAAAUUUGCUGAGUUAGAUCUUAUGUUACUGCUGAAGUUACUUCCACUGUGGGUAGUCUAAGGCCGAUCACUAUACUAGUGUAUUAUACUACCUUCACAAUACAUAGUAUCAUAACUUGGUACCUCAUUUAUUGACAUGCAUGACACAAACUAGUACAUCAUUUAAUAUGAUACGGUAUCAUAUCAUGAUGCCCAACCUCCUCUUUCCUUAUUUAAUUGUGUGACACCUCAACAAAAAUAAUCUAGUUAUCAUGCACGAUACUACCUAUGAUACUCCCAUUGUGACAAGUCUAAUUAUUCCAAGUCAGAAUUAGUUGAAGGACCAAUUAAUUAAGUACUCCCUCCGUCCGAUAUUAAUUGUCGCUCAAACGGAUGUAUCUAGCUAUGCUAGAUACAUGCGUUCGAGCGACAAUUAAUAUAGGACAAAGGGAUUAUACAGUUUUUUCCAGAAAGGAGGAUGACCUGUGUCCUCUGCAUCAAAACGAUGCAUGUAGCCAUUUUAUUAAUUAUUCAUCAAGACCUCUAGCUGCUGGGGAGUACAUCUCUAGCUGUCGGUUUGUUUGGACUACUCUAUAGGAAGACAUUUUCUUGCCGCACAACGGAUGUUGCCAAAUUGUGCUAUUCUGGUCUAAACAUAAGGACAUAUAAUACUAUGUUUCCUUCACACAAAAAUUAUUAUUGAAUCGUGAAGCUUUUUGUAAAGGCUUGUGACUUUGGCUUAUUCUUUUGCAUCAUUCACCGAAUCAGGAGGAGAAUAAUUAACCAAAGUUAUGUAAUCUUCUUAGCUGCAUUCUACAGUAGUACUCUCUCUCACUAGUAGAAAAAGGGCCAUUCAUCCUGGUUCGUAAGGGCCAUUUGUCCCGGUUGUUGAACCGGGACUAAAGGGUCGUUACUAAAGCCCUAGGCCUUUAGUCCCGGUUCUUACACGAACCGAGACAGAUGGGCCUCCACGUGGCCGGUGCGGCGAGCCCAGGAAGGAGGCCCUUUGGUCCCAGUUGGUGGCACCAACCGGGACCAAUAGGCGUCCAUGCGUUCAGCAGCUGGCAGGAGCUGAGGUUUUUGUUUUUUUAAGGGGGUGGUUUUGGGGUUUUGGGGGGUUAAUUUAGGUGUUUCAUAUAUUGUGUUAGCUAGCUAAUUAAUAGAGAGAAGUGUCCUCUCUUAUCUCCGUGCUUGGUCGACGCUACGUACUAUACGUAUAGAGAGGACUCGACACGCUAGCUAGUAAGCAAAUGAAGGAAACAGAAGAUCGUCAUGAACAUAUGCAUACAGAGAGAAGUGAUAUCGACCACCUCUCCUCCGAGAGAUUGGUCGAACAACAAGUUCUCGUAUAUCUAUCCGACGCUAUAGGCUACAUAUAUACAAUAUAAUUAUCUCUUACAAUAUAAUCUCCUAAUUAUAUAUGAACUCAGGGUCCACAUGGUAUUCUCCGUCUUUAUCGAUCACGUGGUCAAGAAAUAAUGCCGCCAAUUCCUCUUGAAUUGCUCGCAUACGAUCUGGUGGUAGGAGUUCAUCCCGCAUCUGAAACAUCUAAUUUUAAGAAGGGGGUCAAUACAUAUAUAUAUGAAUAAAUGAAACUCAACACAAAUGAUGGUAAUAAAAUAAAAUUGUGAAUAUUAUUAUUUACACACUUCAUAUUGUUUGUCAGAGUAGCCCCGCUCACAGGUCGUGUGGUGGAUGGACUCGCAAACGUAGUAUCCACAGUAAUUAUUCCCGGCUUCCUGCCACAACCACUUUACAAGAAAUAGAGGUCAAUCAAACUGAUAAGCAAGCAUGCUAUAAAUGGUAUUGAUGAAACUAGCGCUUGAAUCACUAGGAGAUGCGCGGAACAUGCUAGUAGUACUUACUUUCGGGUGUCUAAAUUGCAGCUUCUUCGGCAGUUCCGGAGCUUUUGAGGUGAAUUUUGUCCAAACCCUGUCAGACAAAGAAAACAAUUACUUGAUAUCAGGAAAUGAACAAAGUUGCCGAUAUGGUGCGAUAAUGAUCGAUUUAACUUACUUCUCGAGCAUUUCAGUCAUGUCCGCAUACUCCUGGGGAUCUUUUCAUCUCGAGUCUAAGACGGUUACUAGUCCCUGCUGAAGCUUAAUCUCUAGGAGAAUAUAGUGGAACCUGCGCACGCAUGCAUAACUCAUCAAUUACAUUACUAUAACCUGGACUAAUAAGGGAAACCGAAUAUGCACACGACAGUAACACUCACUUGAAGUUGUAAGGAAAGAGUAUUAUAUCUUUGUUUUCAUUUAUUACCAACGAUCGUAGCAGGUUGGCCUCGGUCUCUCUGGCCUUAAAUUCAACCGUAUAUGCAUCUAUGAGAUUUGUGUUAAUGAACCCAAUAUCACCGAUUUGUCUUUUUUUUAAUUCGGCAAUCUUCAAUCUGCAUAAUAUAGUGAGGAUAAUUAUAAAUACAUGCAAUGAAAGAGCUGACCUAUAUAUAGAGACUUAAUGACAGAAGUAGUACUUACAGACUGUAGCAGGUGACCGUUAAUUUAUCGAGGGCCUGUUGAUUGAAAAACUGGAAGAACUCCUCAAAUGGAACAUUCAACAGAUCAAUUCCAACGAGGUCAUGCUCCUCUUUAACUCUCAGCGUCAAAAUAUUCCUCCCCCCAGACUCUCUGCAGGUUUUCAUGUACCAAUCAUGGAAUCUUCGCAUCAUCGUUGUUAGAGAUCUUUCAUCUUUGACGAGAGGCUUCCCGUACUCGUAUCUGUGUUCGUCCACCUCCAAGAAAUCAUAAUGUACAUUGUUAGGUAGGUAAUCUCCAAGAUUGGUAUAACCGGGCACCAUCCUCGGAUCAUUAGUGACGAUAUCGCUAGACACCUUGAGCGGGGGGCACGAUUGGUUCGCUUGUUCUUCGAGCUGGGCAAUUUUUUUCCCAGCUCGUCGUUCUUUUAACCUUUGAUCACUGAUAGUACUUCCCGACCGCUCUGCUUCGAUAAAUGAGCUUUCAAUAAUGCGCUCAUAGUUGCCUUUCGGCGGAGACUUUGGUGGUUUCUUCAGGGCAGCCAGACUGCGCUUCGCUUUCACCGGAUCUAUCUUCUCCUCCGAAGGUGGAUGUUUCUUUGCUUUCACCCCUUCAAAUAAGUUCGUCACUUCGGCUCGCACGAUCUUCGCGUUUUCCUCCAGUGUCCUCUUGUAUGGCAACUUCUCUGGAGUCUUCAGAGAAGGACCAAAUCUGUAUUACCUCCCGCCUCUGGCUGUACUGCUAGACGUCGGAGCAGACGGAGCAGCUGCGGCUGUCUUCUUUCCUUUCUUACCAGGCGGAGGAGAAGGACUACAACGCGCCGGAGCAGCCGAAGUGGCGGCGGGUCUCUUCCGCCCUUGCUGACGAGGCGGAGAAGGAGGAGGCUGGCUGCUCGGGCGCGCCGGCGCAGGCGGAGAAGGAGGCGGAGUGCCGCCACGCGCCGGAGAAGGAGGUUGAGUGCCCUGAUCACUCGCCGGAGGAGGAGGCGGAGUGCCCUGACUCGGCAGAGGAGGAGGAGGCGGAGGCGUGAAGUUUGGAAGGUUGAUGAGCUCCUUCCGCCAUAGGCAUGGAGUCUUCAAAGAAGGAACCAGCCGAGUCUCCCCUUCACCCAUAGGGUGGUGAAGCUCGAGGUCCUCAAAUCCGUCCGUUAUUUCAUCCACCAUCACCCUAGCAUAUGUUGGGGAACGUAGCAGAAAUUCAAAAUUUUCUACGCAUCACCAAGAUCAAUCUAUGGAGUACUCUAGCAACGAGGGGAAGGGGAGUGGAUCUACAUACCCUUGUAGAUCGCGAUGCGGAAGCGUUGCAAGAACGCGGAUGAGGGAGUCGUACUCGUAGCGAUUCAGAUCACGGUUGAUUCCGAUCUAAGCACCGAAGAACGGUGCCUCCGCGUUCAACACACGUGCAGCCCGGUGACGUCUCCCACGCCUUGAUCCAGCAAGGAGAGCGGGAGAGGUUGGGGAAGACUCCAUCCUGCAGCAGCACGAUGGCGUGGUGGUGAUGGAGGAGCGUGGCAAUCCCGCAGGGCUUCGCCAAGCACCGCGGGAGAGGAGGAGGAGGAAGAGGGGUAGGGCUGCGCCGAAAAGGAGACGUUCUCAUGUGUCUUGGGCAGCCCAAACCUCAACUAUAUAUAGGGGGGGAGGGGGCUGCGCCCCCUCUAGGGUUUCCACCCCAAGGGCUGGUGGCCAGCCCUAGAUCCCAUCAAGGGGAGGAGAGGGGGGCGCCCCACUAGAUGGGCCCUAAGCCCCAUCUGGACCUAGGGUUUGCCCCCUCCCACUCUCCCAUGCGCCUUGGGCCUUGGUGGGGGGUGCACCAGCCCACCUGGGGCUGGUACCCUCCCACACUUGGCCCACGCAGCCUUCUGGGGCUGGUGGCCCCACUUGGUGGACCCCCGGGACCCUCCUGGUGGUCCCGGUACAUUACCGAUAUCACCCGAAACUUUUCCGGUGACCAAAACAGGACUUCCCAUAUAUAAAUCUUUACCUCCGGACCAUUCCGGAACUCCUCGUGACGUCCGGGAUCUCAUCUGGGACUCCGAACAACAUUCGGUAACCAUGUACAUACUUUCCCUAUAACCCUAGCGUCAUCGAACCUUAAGUGUGUAGACCCUACGGGUUCGGGAAUCAUGCAGACAUGACCGAGACGUUCUCCGGCCAAUAACCAACAGCGGGAUCUGGAUACCCAUGUUGGCUCCCACAUGUUCCACGAUGAUCUCAUCGGAUGAACCACGAUGUCGGGGAUUAUAUCAAUCCCGUAUUCAAUUCCCUUUGUCUACCGGUAUGUUACUUGCCCGAGAUUCGAUCGUCGGUAUCCCUAUACCUUGUUCAAUCUCGUUACCAGCAAGUCUCUUUACUCGUUCCGUAACUCACAUCAUCCCGUGAUCAACUCCUUGGUCACAUUGUGCACAUUAUGAUGAUGUCCUACCGAGUGGGCCCAGAGAUACCUCUCCGUUUACACGGAGUGACAAAUCCUAGUCUCGAUUCGUGCCAACCCAACAGACACUUUCGGAGAUACCUGUAGUGCACCUUUAUAGCCACCCAGUUACGUUGUGACGUUUGGUACACCCAAAGCAUUCCUACGGUAUCCGGGAGUUGCACAAUCUCAUGAUCUAAGGAAAUGAUACUUGACAUUAGAAAAGCUCUGAGCAAACAAACUACAUGAUCUUGUGCUAGGCUUAGGAUUGGGUCUUGUCCAUCACAUCAUUCUCCUAAUGAUGUGAUCCCGUUAUCAACGACAUCCAAUGUCCAUGGUCAGGAAACCGUAACCAUCUAUUGAUCAACGAGCUAGUCAACUAGAGGCUUACUAGGGACAUGGUGUUGUCUAUGUAUCCACACAUGUAUCUGAGUUUCCUAUCAAUACAAUUCUAGCAUGGAUAAUAAACGUUUAUCAUGAACAAGGAAAUAUAAUAAUAACCAAUUUAUUAUUGCCUCUAGGGCAUAUUUCCAACAGCAUAUCCUUCUGGAAUCGGCCGGCAGUGAUAGGUUGCGCCAGGUUCAGGAGGUGCAGCAGAGCUAACAGCCGCCUUGACUUUCAAUUUCAUCCAUUGCGUCAUAAGGUGGCAAUGUUGAGACUCCGUGAUAGCAUCCACGGGGUAGCUAGCAGGAGCCGUGAAGACAGGCUCCUGCUGAAGCAGCUCGGUGGAAGCCACGCUGCUUCUCCGCUGAGAUGGCGGGGUAGCUUCGGGGGAAGCUUCGGCAGGUCAUUUGCUGCGAUUUGCUUCUCGUUCCUCUAUCGCUUGUACCCUUGCGUGCAGCGCCUGCAGUUGGGUAUGCUCCACUUUCUUCCUCCUCUCCUGGCAUUUGUAACCGCCUGCGUCCGGAAACCCAGCCUUCCACGGAACGGAGCCUGGCGUGCCUCGUGUCCGUCCAGUGUGCUCAGGAUUCCCGAGGGCCAUUGUGAGCUCGUCGUUCUCUCUGUCUGGAACAAACGUCCCUUGCUGCGCUACAUCGAUAUACUCUUGAAGCCUCGUGACGGGUAGUCUCAGUUGCUCGUUUGUCCAAACGCACUUCCCUGAUACAGGGUCCAAGGUUCCACCAACCCCGAAGAACCAAGUCCGGCAACGGUCUGGCCAGUUCAAUUUCUCUGGUUCGACCCCUUUAUCAACCAGGUCAUUCUCAGCCUUGGCCCACAACGGCCGGGCUUUGAGGUAGCCACCUGACCCUGUGCGAUGGUGAAGCUUCUUCUUCGCAGCAUUUUUCUUGUUUGUCGCUGACAUCUUCUUACUCUUGUCCGAUGUCUUGUGGGCCACAAAUGCGGGCCAGUGAUCUCUAAUCUUCUCAUACCGGCCGGUGAAUUCUGGUGUCUUUUCUUGGUCGACAAACGAUGUUUUCAGCUCAUUCUUCCACCUGCUGAAUAGUUCUGCCAUCUUCUUAAGAGCAUGAGACUUGAUCAAUUGCUCUUUAACUGGCUUCUCCGGAUCCUCCUCUGGCGGUAGGGUGAAAUUUGCCUUCAGCGCGGUCCAAAGAUCAUCUUUCUACAUAUCGUCGACAUAAGACACCUCAGGGUCUUCCUUCUUAGGCUUAAACCAUUGGUGGAUGCUGAUCGGGAUCUUGUCCCUAACAAGAACCCCGCACUGAGCAGCAAAUGCUUCCUUUGUCCAGAUGGGUUCAAUCGGCAUGCCAUCGCGCGCGAUUGCUGUGAUCUCAAACCUUUCAUCCGAGCGCAACUUUUUCUUCGGGCCUCGUCUCUUUAUCGAAGUUGUGCUCGAUCCGGAGGGCUAGAUAAAAGAAGAAAGACGAGAGUUAAUUAAUAUGUGUACAUACCAAAAUAAUGAAUGCAUCAAUUAGCUAGUCAGCACAGGCUUAACUAAUAUAUAUACCUGGCCGGACUCGGUUCGGUCACCGGAGCCGUCAUCACAGUCUCCUUCUUGCACCGGCAUUGGGUCACCGGAGCCAUCAUAAUCAUAGCCUGCUUCUUCACCCUGUCCUUCCAGACCAUCGGUGUCGUUGAGAAACGACAAGAUGGCAUCACUUCCUUUUGUGAUUAUGUCCCCCAACACCGCUUCUGUUGCUUCGUCUCAGGGGUGCUCCAUAGUUUCUUCAAAUAUUUACAACAUGGCAAUUAUUAUUCAAACAUGACAGAUGGAUAUAUUAGUGGCAAACGUAGAACUAGCUAGCUAAUCACAAUAAGGAAUCAUAUUAGUGGAUGAUACGUCUCCAACGUAUCUAUAAUUUUUUAUUGUUCCGUGCUAUUAUAUAUUCUGUUUUGGAUGUUUAAUGGGCUUAUUUAUGCACUUUUAUAUUAUUUUUGGGACUAACCUAUUAACCGGAGGCCCAGCCCAAAUUGUUGUUUUUCUUCCUAUUUCAGUGUUUCACAGAAAAAGAAUAUCAAACGGAGUCCAAACGGAAUGAAACCUUCGGGAACGUGAUUUUUUGGAACAAACGUGAUCCAGAGGACUUGGAGUGGACGUCAAGCAACAGACGAGGAAGCCACGAGGUAGGGGGGCGUGCCUACCCCCCCUGGGCGCGCCCUCCACCCUCGUGGGCCCCUCGUUGCUCCACCGAUGUACUUCUUCCUCCUAUAUAUACCCAUAUACCCUGGAAACAUCAUAUACGGAGCCAAAACCCUAUUUCCACCGCCGCAACCUUCUGUACCCGUGAGAUCCCAUCUUGGGGCCUUUUCCGGCGCUCCGCCGGAGGGGGCAUUGAUCACGGAGGGCUUCUACAUCAACACCAUGGCCUCUCCGAUGAUGUGUGAGUAGUUUACCUCAGACCUUCGGGUCCAUAGUUAUUAGCUAGAUGACUUCUUCUCUCUCUUUGGAUCUCAAUACAAAGUUCUCCUCGAUCUUCUUGGAGAUCUAUUCGAUGUAAUCUUAUUUUGCGUUGUGUUUGUCGAGAUCCGAUGAAUUGUGGGUUUAUGAUCAAGUUUAUCUAUGAACAAUAUUUGAAUCUCCUCUGAAUUCUUUUAUGUAUGAUUGGUUAUCUUUGCAAGUCUCUUUGAAUUAUCAGUUUGGUUUGGCCUACUAGAUUGAUCUUUCUUGCAAUGGGAGAAGUGCUUAGCUUUGGGUUCAAUCUUGCGGUGUCCUUUCCAAGUGACAGCAGGGGCAGCAAGGCACGUAUUGUAUUGUUGCCAUCGAGGAUAAAAAGAUGGGGUUUAUAUCAUAUUGCAUGAGUUUAUCCCUCUACAUCAUGUCAUCCUACUUAAAGCAUUACUCUGUUCUUAUGAACUUAAUACUCUAGAUGCAUGUUGGAUAGCGGUCGAUGUGUGGAGUAAUAGUAGUAGAUGCAGAAUCGUUUUGGUCUACUUGUCACGGACGUGAUGCCUAUAUACAUGGUCAUACCUAGAUAUUCUCAUAGCUAUGCUCAAUUCUAUCAAUUGCUCGACAGUAAUUCGUUUACCCACCGUAAUACUUAUGCUAUCUCGAGAGAAGCCACUAGUGAAACCUAUGGCCCCCGGGUCUAUUUUCCAUCAUAUUAAUCUCCCAACAACAAGCUAUUUCUGGCGCCAUUUAUUUUACUUUGCAUCUUUAUUUCUCUUUAUCAUAAAAAUACCAAAAAUAUUAUCUUAUCAUAUCUAUCAGAUCUCACUCUCGUAAGUGACCGUGAAGGGAUUGACAACCCCUUUAUCACGUUGGUUGCGAGGUUCUUAUUUGUUUGUGGAGGUGCGUGGGACUCGAGCGUGGUCUCCUACUAGAUUGAUACCUUGGUUCUCAAAAACUGAGGGAAAUACUUACGCUACUUUACUGCAUCACCCUUUCCUCUUCAAGGGAAAACCAACGCAGUGCUCAAGAGGUAGCAAGAAGGAUUUCUGGCGCCGUUGCCGCGGAGUCUACGCACAAGUCAAGACAUACCAAGUACCCAUCACAAACUCUUAUCCCUCGCAUUACAUUAUUUGCCAUUUGCCUCUCGUUUUCCUCUCCCCCACUUCACCCUUGCCGUUUUAUUUGCCCUCUCUUUUCCGUUCGCCUCUUUUUUGCUUUCUUCUUGUUUGCUUGUGUGUUGGAUUGCUGCUUGUCACGAUGGCUCAAGAUAAUACUAAAUUGUGUGACUUUGCCAAUACCAACAACAAUGAUUUUCUUAGCACUCCGAUUGCUCCUCUUACCGAUGCUGAAUCUUGUGAAAUUAAUGUUGCUUUGCUAAAUCUUGUCAUGAAAGAUCAAUUCGCCGGCGUUCCUAGUGAAGAUGCCGCUACCCAUCUAAAUAGCUUCAUUGAUUUGUGUGAUAUGCAAAAGAAGAAAGAUGUGGACAAUGAUAUUGUUAAAUUGAAACUGUUUCCGUUUUCGCUUAGAGAUCGUGCUAAACUUGGUUUUCGUCUUUGCCUAAAAACAGUAUUGAUUCUUGGAAUAAGUGCAAAGAUGCUUUUAUCUCUAAGUAUUUUCCUCCCGCUAAGAUCAUCUCUCUUAGAAACGAUAUUAUGAAUUUUAAGCAACUUGAUCAUGAACAUGUUGCACAAGCUUGGGAGAGAAUGAAAUUAAUGAUAGGUAAUUGCCCUACACAUGGUCUGAAUUUAUGGAUGAUUAUACAUAAUUUUUAUGCCGGAUUAAAUUUUGCUUCUAGAAAUCUUUUAGAUUCGGCCGCGGGAGGCACUUUUAUGGAAAUCACUUUAGGAGAAGCUACUAAACUCCUAAAUAAUAUUAUGGUUAAUUAUUCUCAAUGGCACACUGAAAGAUCUACUAGUGAAAAGGUGCAUGCGGUAGAAGAAAUUAAUGUUUUGAGUGGAAAGAUGGAUGAACUUAUGAAGUUGUUUGCUAAUAAGAGUGUUUCUUCCGAUCCUAAUGUUAUGCCCUUGUCUACCUUGAUUGAGAAUAAUAAUGAAUCUAUGGAUGUGAAUUUUGUUGGUAGGAAUAAUUUUGGUAACAACGCGUAUAGAGGAACCUUUAAUCCUAGGUCGUUCCCUAGUAAUUCCUCUAAUAAUUAUGGUAAUUCCUACAACAACUCUUAUGGAAAUUUUAAUAAGAUGCCCUCUGAAUUUGAGACUAGUGUUAAAGAAUUUAUGAUUUCUAAAAAGAAUUUCAAUGCUUUGCUUGAAGAAAAAUUGCUUAAAGUUGACGAAUUGGCUAGGAACGUGGAUAGAAUAGAUCUAUUCCACCUAAGCAUGAUAUCAAUGAGUCUCUCAAAGCUAUGAGAAUUUCCAUUGAUGAGUGCAAAGAAAGAACCGCUAGGAUGCGUGCUAAGAAAGAUUGCUUUGUGAAAGCGUGUUCUUCUAGUUUCUAUGAGAAUAAAGAUGAAGAUCUAAAAGUUAUUGAUGUGUCUCCUAUUAAAACUUUGUUUUGCAAUAUGAAGCUUGAUAAUGGUGGGACUGGAGAUGAGUCAACUUUAGUUAGAAGGCGUCCCAAAAAUUCGGAGUUUUUAGAUCUUGAUACAAAAAUUGGUAAAAGUGGGAUUGAAGAGGUCAAAACUUUAGAUACCAAUGAACCCACUAUCUUGGAUUUCAAGGAAUUUAAUUAUGAUAAUUGCUCUUUGAUAGAUUGUAUUUCCAUGUUGCAAUCCGUGCUAAAUUCUCCCCAUGCUUAUAGUCAAAAUAAAGCUUUUACUAAACAUAUCGUUGAUGCUUUAAUGCAAUAUUAUGAAGAAAAACUUGAGUUGGAAGUUUCUAUCCCUAGAAAACUUUAUGAUGAGUGGGAACCUACUAUUAAAAUUAUAAUUAAAGAUCAUGAAUGCUAUGCUUUGUGUGAUUUGGGUGCUAGUGUUUCCACGAUUCCAAAAACUUUGUGUGAUUUGCUAGGUUUCCGCGAAUUUGAUGAUUGCUCUUUAAACUUACACCUUGCGGAUUCCGCCAUUAAGAAACCAAUGGGAAGAAUUAAUGGUGUUCUUAUUGUUGCAAAUAGGAACUAUGUGCCCGUAGAUUUUAUUGUUCUUGAUGUAGAUUGCAAUCCUUCAUGUCCUAUUAUUCUUGGUAGACCUUUCCUUAGAACGAUUGGUGCAAUUAUUGAUAUAAAGGAAGGGAAUAUUAGAUUCCAAUUUCCGUUAAGGAAAGGCAUGGAACACUUCCCAAGAAAGAAGAUUAAAUUACCUUAUGAAUCUAUUAUGAGAGCCACUUAUGGAUUGCCUACCAAAGAUGGCAAUACCUAGAUCUAUCCUUGCUUUUACGCCUAGCUAGGGGCGUUAAACGAUAGUGCUUGUUGGGAGGCAACCCAAUUUUAUUUUAGUUUUUGCUUUUUGCUUCUGUUUAGGAAUAAAUCUUUGAUCUAGCCUCUGGUUAGAUUAUUUUUUUAUGUUUUAAUUAUUGUUUGUGCCAAGUUAAACCUAUAGGAUCUUCUUGGAUGAUAGUUAUUUGAUCUUGCUGAAAAUUCCAGAAACUUUCUGUUCACGAAAACAAUUGUUAAAAAUCACCAGAACGUGAUAAAAUACUGAUUCCAAUUGCAGUAGAUCAAUAAACAAAUUAUCUAGGCCCUCCUAUUUUGGUGGAUUUUUAUAAGUUCCAGAAGUUUGCGUUAGUUACAGAUUACUACAGACUGUUCUGUUUUUGAAAGAUUCUGUUUUUUCGUGUGUUGUUUGCUUAUUUUGAUGACUCUAUGGCUAGUAAAAUAAUUUAUAAACCAUAGAGAAGUUGGAAUACAGUAGGUUUAACACCAAUAUAAAUAAAGAAUGAGUUAAAUACAGUACCUUGAAGUGGUGUUUUGUUUUCUUUCGGUAACGGAGCUCACGAGAUUUUCUGUUAAGUUUUGUGUUGUGAAGUUUUCAAGUUUUUGGUAAAGAUUUGAUGGAUUAUGGAACAAGGAGUGGCAAGAGCCUAAGCUUGGGGAUGCCCAUGGCACCCCAAGGUAAAUCCAAGGACAACAAAAAGCCAAAGCUUAGGGAUGCCCCGGAAGGCAUCCCUCUUUCGUCUUCGUCCAUCGGUAACUUUACUUGGAGCUAUAUUUUUAUUCACCACAUGAUAAGUGUUUUGCUUGGAGCGUCUUGUAUGAUUUGAGUCUUUGCUUUUUAGUUUACCACAAUCAUCCUUUCUGUACACACCUUUUGAGAGAGACACACAUGAUUUGGAAUUUAUUAGAAUACUCUAUGUGCUUCACUUAUAUCUUUUGAGCUAUAUAGUUUUUGCUCUAGUGCUUCACUUAUAUCUUUUAGAGCACGGCGGUGGUUUUGUUUCAUAGAAAUUAUUGUUCUCUCAUGCUUCACUUAUAUUAUUUUGAGAGUCCUACAAAACAUCAUGGUAAUUUUCUUUAAUUGAUAAAUUAGUCCUAAUAUGAUAGGUAUUCAAGAUUACUAAAAACUUUAUUAUGAGUGUGUUGAAUACUAAGAGAAGUUUGAUGCUUGAUGAUUGUUUUGAGAUAUGGAGGUAGUGAUAUUAAAGUUGUGCUAGUUUAGUAGUUGUGAAUUUGAGAAAUACUUGCGUUGAAGUUUGCAAAUCCCGUAGCAUGCACGUAUGGUAAACGUUGUGUAACAAAUUUGAAACAUGAGGUGUUCUUUGAUUGUCCUCCUUAUGAGUGGCGGUCGGGGACGAGCGAUGGUCUUUUCCUACCAAUCUAUCCCCCUAGGAGCAUGCGCGUAGUGCUUGGUUUUUGAUGACUUGUAGAUUUUUGCAAUAAGUAUGUGAGUUCUUUAUGACUAAUGUUGAGUCCAUGGAUUAUACGCACUCUCACCUUUCCAUCAUUGCUAGCCUCUUCGGUACCGUGCAUUGCCCUUUCUCACCUUGAGAGUUGGUGCAAACUUCGCCGGUGCAUCCAAACCCCGUGAUACGAUACACUCUAUCACACAUAAGCCUCCUUAUAUCUUCCUCAAAACAGCCACCAUACCUACCUAUUAUGGCAUUUCCAUAGCCAUUUCGAGAUAUAUUGCCAUGCAACUUUCCACCGUUCCAUUUAUCAUGACAUGUUUCAUCAUUGUCAUAGCAUGAUCAUGUAGUUGACAUCGUAUUUGUGGCAAAGCCACCAUGCAUAUUAUUUCAUACAUGUCACUCUUGAUUCAUUGUCCUCCCGGUACACCGCCGGAGGCAAUCAUGUCAUACUUUGUUCUAGUAUCGAGUUGUCAUCAUUGAGCUGUAAAUAAAUAGAAGUGUGAUGAUCAUCAUUCAUAGAGCAUUGUCCCAAAAAAAGAGAAAGGCCAAAAGAAAAAAAGGCCCAAAAAAAGAAAAUAAAAAGGGGCAAUGCUACUAUCCUUUUUCCAUACUUGUGCUUCAAAGUAGCACCAUGAUCCUUAUGAUAGAUAGUCUCUUGUUUUGUCACUUUCAUAUACUAGUGGGAAUUUUUCGUUAUAGAACUUGGCUUGUAUAUUCCAACAAUGGGCUUCCUCAAAUGCCCUAGGUCUUCGUGAGCAAGCAAGUUGGAUGCACACCCACUUAGUUUCUUUUGUUGAGCUUUCAUACAUUUAUAGCUCUAGUGCAUCCGUUGCAUGGCAAUCCCUACUCCUCACAUUAACAUCAAUUGAUGGGCAUCUCCAUAGCCCGUUGAUUAGCCGCGUUGAUGUGAGACUUUCUCCUUUUUUGUCUUCUCCACAUAAACCCCAUCAUUAUAUUCUAUUCCACCCAUAGUGCUAUAUCCAUGGCUCACGCUCAUGUAUUGCGUGAAAGUUGAAAAAGUUUGAGAUUACUAAAGUAUGAAACAAUUGCUUGGCUUGUCAUUGGGGUUGUGCAUGAUGAGAGCAUUCUUGUGUGACGAAAAUGGAGCAUGACCAAACUAUAUGAUUUUGUAGGGAUGAACUUUCUUUGGCCAUGUUAUUUUGAGAAGACAUAAUUGCUUAGUUAGUAUGCUUGAAGUAUUAUUACUUUUAUGUCAAUAUUAAACUUUUAUCUUGAAUCUUCACGAUCUAAAUAUACAUACCAUAAUUAAGAGGGUUACAUUGAAAAUUAUGCUAAGUAGCAUUCCACAUCAAAAAUUCUGUUUUUAUCAUUUACCUACUCGAGGACGAGCAGGAAUUAAGCUUGGGGAUGCUUCAUACGUCUCCAACGUAUCUAUAAUUUUUUAUUGUUCCAUGCUAUUAUAUAUUCUGUUUUGGAUGUUUAAUGGGCUUAUUUAUGCACUUUUAUAUUAUUUUUGGGACUAACCUAUUAACCGGAGGCCCAGCCCAAAUUGCUGUUUUUUGCCUAUUUCAGUGUUUCACAGAAAAAGAAUAUCAAAUGGAGUCCAAAUGGAAUGAAACCUUCGAGAACGUGAUUUUCGGAACAAACAUGAUCCAGAGGACUUGGACUGGAUGUCAAGCAACAGACAAGGAAGCCACGAGGUAGGGGGGCGCGCCCUCCACCCUCGUGGGGCCCUUCUUGCUCCACCAGCGUACUUCUUCCUCCUAUAUAUACCCAUAUACCCUGGAAACAUCAUAUACAAAGCCAAAACCCUAUUUCCACCGCCGCAACCUUCUGUACCCGUGAGAUCCCAUCUUGGGGCCUUUUCCGGCGCUCCGCCAGAGGGGGCAUUGAUCACGGAGGGCUUCUACAUCAACACCGUAGCCUCUCCGAGUGUGAGCAGUUUACCUCAGACCUUCGGGUCCAUAGUUAUUAGCAAGAUGGCUUCUUCUCUCUUUUUGGAUCUCAAUACAAAGUUCUCCUCGAUCUUCUUGGAAAUCUAUUCGAUGUAAUCUUCUUUUGCGGUGUGUUUGUCGAGAUCCGAUGAAUUGUGGGUUUAUGAUCAAGUUUAUCUAUGAACAAUAUUUGAAUCUCCUCUGAAUUCUUUUAUGUAUGAUUGGUUAACUUUGGAAGUCUCUUUGAAUUAUCAGUUUGGUUUGGCCUACUAGAUUGAUCUUUCUUGCAAUGGGAGAAGUGCUUAGCUUUGGGUUCAAUCUUGCGGUGUCCUUUCCCAGUGGCAGCAGGGGCAGCAAGGCACGUAUUGUAUUGUUGCCAUCGAGAAUAAAAAGAUGGGGUUUAUAUCAUAUUGCAUGAGUUUAUCCCUCUACAUCAUGUCAUCUUACUUAAAGCAUUACUCUGUUCUUAUGAACUUAAUACUCUAGAUGCAUGCUGGAUAGAGGUCGAUGUGUGGAGUAAUAGUAGUAGAUGCAGAAUCGUUUCGGUCUACUUGUCACGGACGUGAUGCCUAUAUGCAUGAUCAUACCUAGAUAUUCUCAUAACUAUGCUCAAUUCUAUCAAUUGCUCGAUAGUAAUUCGUUUACCCACUGUAGUACUUAUGAUAUCUUGAGAAAAGCCACUAGUGAAACCUAUGGCCCCCGGGUCUAUUUUCCAUCAUAUUAAUCUCCCAACAACAAGCUAUUUCUGGCGCCGUUUAUUUUACUCUGCAUCUUUAUUUCUCUUUAUCAUAAAAUACCAAAAAUAUUAUCUUAUCAUAUCUAUCAGAUCUCACUCUCAUAAGUGACCGUGAAGGGAUUGACAACCCCUUUAUCGCGUUGGUUGCGAGGUUCUUAUUUGUUUGUGUAGGUGUGUGGGACUCGAGCGUGGUCUCCUACUGGAUUGAUACCUUGGUUCUCAAAAACUGAGGGAAAUACUUGCGCUACUUUACUGCAUCACCCUUUCCUCUUCAAGGGAAAACCAACGCAGUGCUCAAGAGGCAGUAGUGGCCUCGACGCUGCUUCUCUAGGGUUUGGGGUGGCCUCGACAACGCUUCAAGGGUUUGGGGUGGCCUCGAGAGUGUUUGUCGGGUAGGGGCACAGCGGGAGGGGGUAGGAGACCAACAUCGUUUUUUUCUAGGGUUUGGGUGUCCUCGAGAGUUUUGGUCGAGUGAGAGGGCCGGGGGUGCUCCCGUGGUAUAAGUUAUCACGGUCGAGAGGGGGUAUAUAUAUUGAUCGCCCCUCAUGUCGAAGUUAUCCGGGAGGGGGUUAUAUCGACAACGAUGACAUACAUAUACGGGAAAAUAAUGUUAUCGGGGAGGGGGUAUAUCGACCCCCCCCCUCGUGUUGAAGUUAUCGGGACGGGGUAUAUCGACAACGACAUACCCGAUAAAAAAUAAGAAGACGAAGAAGAAAUAAAAAGAUUAGAAGAAGAAAGGGAUAGAGGAGAAGAUCAAAGAAAAAAAGAAGAAAAAAAGAGGAGAAGAAGAAAGGAAUAGAGGAGAAGAAGAGAAAAUAGAAUAUUUUCUAUUUUCUCUUCUUCUCCUCUAUUCCUUUCUUCUUCUCCUCUUCUUUUUAUUCUUUUUUCCUCUUCUUAUUUAUUUCUCCUCUUCUUCCUCUCCUCUUCUUCUCCUUUCUUCCUCUUCUUAUUUUCCUUUUUCCUCUCAUUCUUUUUCUUCUUCUUCCUUUCCUAGCUAGAUAUAUAAAACUUUUCUAAAAAAUGUAACUUUUGCAUAUAUAAAAAAAUUUCUUCUUCUUACUUCUUCCUUCUUCCUAAAUAUAUAAAACUUUUCUAAAAAUGAAACUAACCUAAAAUGUNNNNNNNNNNNNNNNNNNNNNNNNNNNNNNNNNNNNNNNNNNNNNNNNNNNNNNNNNNNNNNNNNNNNNNNNNNNNNNNNNNNNNNNNNNNNNNNNNNNNNNNNNNNNNNNNNNNNNNNNNNNNNNNNNNNNNNNNNNNNNNNNNNNNNNNNNNNNNNNNNNNNNNNNNNNNNNNNNNNNNNNNNNNNNNNNNNNNNNNNNNNNNNNNNNNNNNNNNNNNNNNNNNNNNNNNNNNNNNNNNNNNNNNNNNNNNNNNNNNNNNNNNNNNNNNNNNNNNNNNNNNNNNNNNNNNNNNNNNNNNNNNNNNNNNNNNNNNNNNNNNNNNNNNNNNNNNNNNNNNNNNNNNNNNNNNNNNNNNNNNNNNNNNNNNNNNNNNNNNNNNNNNNNNNNNNNNNNNNNNNNNNNNNNNNNNNNNNNNNNNNNNNNNNNNNNNNNNNNNNNNNNNNNNNNNNNNNNNNNNNNNNNNNNNNNNNNNNNNNNNNNNNNNNNNNNNNNNNNNNNNNNNNNNNNNNNNNNNNNNNNNNNNNNNNNNNNNNNNNNNNNNNNNNNNNNNNNNNNNNNNNNNNNNNNNNNNNNNNNNNNNNNNNNNNNNNNNNNNNNNNNNNNNNNNNNNNNNNNNNNNNNNNNNNNNNNNNNNNNNNNNNNNNNNNNNNNNNNNNNNNNNNNNNNNNNNNNNNNNNNNNNNNNNNNNNNNNNNNNNNNNCCAGGACAGGGGCGCAGGCGACGGCGGCGAGAGCGACUGCGACGGCGGCGAGAGCGACGGCGACGGCGGGGACAGGCCGGGGCGGGAGCGGGGGCGCGGGCGACGGAGCGACGGCGGCGGAGGACAGCAUCGGGGUAGCCUGGCGGCGUCGAUGUGCUCGACGUCGUUGGGGGCAACUGGUGAUGAACUCUGCAAAAUUCCUAAGUGCUACUGAUAUACCCAGAGCUUUGGUCCCGGUUCGUGGCACCAACCGGGACCAAUGCACCCCUUUAGUCCCGGUUGGUGGCACCAACCGAGACUUAAGGUCUCUUUUCAGCAGCCCAAAGGGCGGGAAGCAGAGGCCUUUGGUCCCGGUUGGUGCUGCGAACCGGUGCCAAUGCACCACUUUAGUCUAGGUUGGUGGCACCAACCGGGACCAAAGGCCCUGUGCUGCCCGCGUCGCGGCCAAAAGUUUAGUCCCACCUCGCUAGUUGAGAGAGCUCGAGAGUGAUUUACAAGCGCUGCUGCGCCAACCCUCUCGAGCUCAUCUCAACUGCAGGCUUUCGGGCCUAAUUUGUCACGAUGUGCUUGUGGGCCUACUCUGCCUCCUGCGGGCCUGAAUCUGGGCCCAUGGUUGGGUUUCUAGUCGUAUUGAGGCCGUGGUGGCCCAGUGGGUGGCACUUUUUUUAUUUUAUUUUUUGAUUUAUUUAUUUUAUUUUAUUUCUACUUACAACAAAAAACUUACUGUUGCUAUUUUUAUUUAUUUUAUUAAAGUUUAUUUAUUUUACUUUUAUAAAAAAAUUCUACUUAUUUAUUUUAUUAAAGUUUAUUUUGUUUCUACUUAUUUAUUUUAUUAAAUUUUAAUUUAAUUUAUUUUGUUUCUACUUAUUUAUUAAAGUUUAUUUUGUUUCUUUCUGCUUUUCAUGUUUUGAACAGAAAAUACUUUGAUAAUUUCAGUGGCAUGAAUUUUAUAUAAUUUUAGUUUAAAAAAUACUAGAGGUUUAUAAAAGCUUUUUAAUUGAUUCCUUUUGCUAUUAGAGGUUUAUAAAAGCUUAUAUAAUUUUCUUUUUUCUAUUAAAGAAUAUUAUAGUUUUGUUUUAGUUGACCAUAACAGAAUAUUUUAAUUGAUUGUUUUUUGAGCUAAAUGAUGUGGCUUUUUAGUUGAUGAGGGUUUCAUACGGAAACUCGUCUGUUACAAAGAGAUUUCAUUUUUUUAAACUUAUUUGAACUCCAGACUUUUUGUGUGUUCAAAAUACACCAUUCAAAGCCACAUCAUCAAUUUUCAACCCUUUCUGACUUCAUUUGUUAUUUUUCAUGCAUUUACUAAUUUUUUUUGAGCUAUAAGACCCUGAAAUUCAAAAGCAUUUCAAAUGAACUCUGAAAGGGUUGAAAGUUGGCAUGGUAUCAUCAUUUCACCCAUAUAGCAUGUGCUAACAAGUUGAGAGGGUUACGGAAAAAACUAGAUGCACUUCGUGUACAAAAUGGACAAUCUCUUUCGAAGUAUCAGGGUUUCAUACGGAAACUCGUCUGUUACAAAGGGAUUUUAUUUUUUAAAACUUAUUUGAACUCCAGAAUUUUUGUGUGUUUAAUAUGCACCAUUCAAAGCCACAUCAUCAAUUUUCAAUCCUUUCUGACUUCAUUUGUUAUUUUUCAUGCAUUUACUGAUUUUUUUGAGCUAUAAGACCAGGAAAUUCAAAAGCAUUUCAAACGAACUCUGAAAAGGUUGAAAGUUGGCAUGGUAUCAUCAUUUCACCCACAUAGCAUGUGCUAACAAGUUGAGAGGGUUACGGCAAAAACUAGAUGCACUUCGUGUAUAAAAUGGACAAUCUCUUUCGAAGUAUCAGGGUUUCAUACGGAAACUCAUCUGUUACAAAGGGAUUUCAUUUUUUAAACUUAUUUGAACUCCAGACUUUUUGUGUGUUCAAAAUGCACCAUUCAAAGUUGGCAUGGUAUCAUCAUUUCACCCACAUAGCAUGUGCUAAAAAGUUGAGAGGGUUAGCCUCAGCCACUUCGAGAAACAUAAUUAUGUGUGUCUGUCACCGUACAUCCAUUGCCAGUUCAUCUGCGUGCAUUAUAUAUAAUUAUGUGUGUCAAAAACCAUUACAGGUUCACAUGGAUAGAUAAGUGACCAAAUCAAUAGUAGUUCAUCAUCACAUUAAAACCAAAGUACAUACAUAGUUCAAAUUGAACAACAUAUAGCUCUCCAGAGCAUCUAACUAAACCAUACAUUGAAACUAUGUAAAACCUUUCAAUGCAACAACAAAUGCGAUCAUAAUCACAACCAAGGUAACAAUUGAUCCAACAGCAUAAUGGUACCAAGCCUCGGUAUGAAUGGCAUAUUUUCUAAUCUUUCUAAUCUUCAACCGCAUUGCAUCCAUCUUGAUCUUGUGAUCAUCGACGACAUCCGCAACAUGCAACUCCUAUAUCAUCUUCUCCUCCUCAAUUUUUUUUAUUUUUUCCUUCAAGUAAUUGUUUUCUUCUUCAACUAAAUUUAACCUCUCGACAAUAGGGUCGGUUGGAAUUUCUGGUUCAACCACCUCCUAGAUAAAUAAAAUCUAUGUCACGUUGGUCGGCAUAAUUGUCAUAAACAAUAAAUGAACCAAAUAGUUAUAAAAAGAUAAUAUAUACCACAUCUGAAUCAUAGACAGGACGAGGGCCGACGGGGGCGGAUACCAAAACCAUCGCACUAUAUAAUAACAAGGAAUAAUAAAAGUAAGAAAAUUAGACAUGUAUCUAUCUGAAGUAAGAAUUUUUUUAUUUCAGAAAGAAGAUAAGAACAAGAGGCUCACCACGGUGGUGCCGGCAACGAGAUCGGCGCGGGCGAUCGACGGCGGUGAAAACGGGGAUGGGACGUGACGGACCGCUAAACCUAGACAAAUCUCGGGGAAAAUGGAGCUCGGAGGUCGAGUUUCGAGAGGAGAAAGAUUAACUAGUGUGGCUCGGACAUUUCAUCAAACACCUCAUGUGCAUAGGAGGUGAGCUAGAGCACCCAAAUGCCCUCCCCUCGCCUGCCAGAAAAAACAGAGCACUGUGGAGUGCUCGCUGUGGCGAUGGGGUAUAUAUAGAUAACUCAUUUGUCCCGGUUCGUGGUAGAAACCGGGACUAAAGCCCAGCUUUCUGUCCGGUUCGAGCCACGAACCGGGAUCAAUGGUUGUGGGCCAGGAGCGAGGACCAUUGGUCCCGGUUCGUGCCUAGAACCGGGACAAAUGGGUCCAUACGAACCGGGGCCAAUGCCCACGAGGCUCCGGCCGGCCCCCUGGGCUCACGAACCGGGAGGAAUUCCUCCAUGGGUCCCGGUUCGUGACUGAACCGGGACUAAUGGGUUGGCCAGGCCCGAACCAAAGCCCUGUUUUCUACUAGUGUCUGUAAAUUAUUUAGUUAUCUAAAAAAUCUUACAUUAGUUUACAGAGGGAGUGGCAGUUUAAAUUAAACUUGUGGUGUUGUUUACCUCUUUGUGCCUUCUGCACAGUCGAUCGAGAUAGAUCUGUGAAGAUUAUGCUUAUCUAGCGAGCUAGCUACUCCGUACUGUUUAGUUUCUUCAUACGAAAUCCGGCAGAGGAUUGAAGACCAGGUUGAUUAAGGGCAUCUGCAAUAGACGACGCUUAUAACUAGCUAAAUAAAAUUAUUUAAAUUCCUAGCAUUUGUGCAACAGUCCGUGUCUCCAACCGUAGCAGCGAUCUAAUAGCCGUGCCUGGACCGAUUCUUCCUCUCCUGAUCGGUGAAAAAUCUCCUUGUAGCGCUCAGCGCCUCGGUUGGCAUCAAAGCAAAACAAAAUCCCUGGAUCGGUCAGGAAUUGAACGCAAAUGCCAGGUAAUCCAUCCUAGCGCCGGGCACUAGCUCGUGUUGGAGGUGCCCUAACAUGACCCCUCUCACUGACUUCAGUGCGUAUAGGUGCACAAAGUUAUAUAUAUACCUAAUGCGUUUUUUAGGCAAACUUUGACCACAUGUUAGAGCAAUACGUAAUAUAUGGCAUGCAGGUAGCUUUUGGUGUACGAAUGUUGUCGUGACUUGUUGUACUUUUUUUUGUUCACCAGAAAAUUUGCAUCAUGGGUGAAAAUGCUCAUUAUUAAUGAGUCAUUAAUGAUGUUAAUUACUUUGUCAAAGCCUAAUCUGAAGGGCCCAGAUUAGUUAGAGUACUACGUGGUGCAGGUAUUCAUAAUGGUUUGUUUGACAUACUGUAUCUGCUUUGGGGAGUCUGAAUGUCCUACUUGUGGUUAAAAAAACAAGCACGCAUAAAUAUGUGUACGUUUUCUGUAUUUAUAUGACACAAUUAGAGACUUUACAAAAAGCUUCCGACUUUUGGCUUAGUUUUGCAUAUCUUUUCAGAAGUUUCUUUUAGGUUAUAUCUUUUCAGAAGUUGGCCGGUAACCAAGCGCGGGCUGGAAAAAAGACUACGUCGGUCUAGAAGAUUAUUGGCUCAAUUAACUCUCCAAAUUGUUUUAUUCUCAGUUUUGACCCCAGUAAAGUAAAGUUCAACGUCUUGCACGCAAUGAUUGCUUUUCUUUCUUCUCUCACAAGGCGACUAGAGAAAAUCUUCCUUCCCUUGAUCUUCAUGGGCAAGCCCGUGGAUUCGCCUUCCUUACGCCCGCCGCUCCAGCGGUCGGUGGUUGGGAGAGGAUUUUUGGUGCCUCGGAUCCGGCUAGUAGAUAGGUAGGGUUUUUAAUUCUCACAUGGACGGUGUUUGGACGGAUGACGACGCUUCUUCUUCCGGGCUCUGAUCCUCCUCAAGUUCAUCCAUUGGGACGGAUUAGACAGAGCUCCAGUGUAGAUUCCUGCCAGCUCCUCGAGGCGGCGAGAUUAGGGUUUUUCGUCGUGCGUACACAACGACGAUAUUUGGUGCCAGAUUCUUCAGAUCGAUUCACGAUUCAAUGGCGACGAAUGUGGCUCCAGGGCGUUGGUCCUUAGGGGCAUGUGCAGGAAGACUUCCCGGCUGUCAUCGACAAGGUCAGGCCGACUCCGGUAUGGGAAGGGCGAUAGCGGCGCGUCGACGGCUCGUUCUGGCGGCGGUUGUGGUCGUUCGGUGGUCUAUGGACCUCGAUGUAAUUUUUAUUAUGGUUGAGGUGUUUUGUUCUUUCGGUGAAUCUUUAUAGUAGAUCUGAUCCUUCUUGAAAAAAAAGUAAAGUAAAGUCCAAUAGAGCGUGGGAAUAACAUGGAACAUGGGGUAGGUACGACGGCUGGAGCACGGGUAGAAGUUUUUUUUUUAAGUAGGCCGGGUAGAAGUCUGGCAUGGCAUAGUUUAGCCGAAAUUGCUGCACGUGACACUAGUUUAGCUUGGACGUCUGUUCAAAAGAAAAAAAACUACUAGGACGCACACGUACUACAUCGAUCGAUACAGCAGACUAGUGCACGCAGCAUACUGUAGUGUAGUGGUACCAGUACUGUGUAGCCCUAGUCUCACUUAUACCAAUCUGCAACGAGUACUUGACACUGUUGGCGCCGUGUUGCGGGCUGCCGAUCGAUCGACGCCCGGCCGGCUGGUGCAGCGCGCCGGCCGGGCGCGGACAUGCCGCAGGCGCCGCCAACACAUGGCAUGCAUGCACAUGCAAGCAUGUUUGGCCAAUUUGUCAGCCGGCUGUCACGCACGGUCGUAACGUACGUCAAGUUUAGUUUAUUUUUUCUGCGGGAUGGUGAUUUGUUUUUGGUUUUUUUAGCUUAGGAUGGUGAUUAGUUAAUGGGCUUUAAUAUUGAAAAUAAUAUGACUUACAUCCAGAUCCGCAGACCAGCAAAUGUGCUUUAAGCAGGAUUGGAGCAUCUACAACCGGACCCUUCAAAGGGGAAAUGGUACUCCCACCCCUAGGGUGCUCCCGGUGCACCAAACUCGGUAGCACAUUUUAAAACGUUCGAAAAAUUCUGAAAAAAAAUCAGCACAUUGACACAACAUCAAUGUGUGUUGUUAAAAAAAUUCAAAUCAAAAUUCAAAACAUUGCUUGAGAUACAAAAAUGACAAAAUGGACAUCAAUGUGAUAAUGGGCCUAAUCUAAAUGCCAACUUAUGUUGUGUACUAUUUACCGUCAAAUUUGUCAUUUAUGUUUCUCAAGCUAUGUUUCGAAUUUUGAUUUCUUAUUUUUUUGACAACAUACUUUGAUGUUGUGUCAAUGUACUGGAUUUUUUUCAGAAAUUUUUGAACAUUUUAAAAUGUGCUACCGAGUUUUGGAGCACCGGGAGCACCCUAGGGGUGGGAUUACCAGAUAUUUCCCCCCUCCCCCGCCCUAAACAUCCGGACGGACAUCCUCAUCACUGCUCACUCAUAAUGGUCAAGAGCCUACGGAUUUUGACUUGGGUGAUACCAAUUCCUCUUAUGUCGGGCAACAUCACACACUAAAAAAAGGUGCCAAAGGAAGAGGUCCAACAUCCACAACCUUUGAGGAUGCGUUGUUGUGUGAAUCUUGGUUGGUCAUAAGCAUGGAUCUAAUUUUUGGAAAUAAGAGGGUGUCAAGUAUGUGGAGUCGCACACUGUCCAUACCACCUUCAACGAGGGCUUAAUGAGACAAAAAGGCAAAAGUCAAAGCCGAAAGCACAUAAAUAGGUGCUUUUUUGGCUUAUAAGAAACAACCACCGCAUUAGUUGUACAAUGUUUCCCUGGUUUUCAGAACCGUUCGAAAGGUCAUGGUCUUUUUUUUAUUUUUUUGUAUUAUCUUUUUCCCUGUUUUUCUUUUACCGGAUUUUUUCGGUUCCUUUUUUGUUUUUAUAUUUUUAGUCAUUUUCAAAAUGUUAGCUUUUUAAAAACAUCAGGAUUUUUUUUACUUUUGUUUGAAAUUCUAUACAAUGACCGCAUUUUCAAAAAAUAUCCAUGGCUUCAAAUAUUCUUCAGUAUUUUUAGAAUAUUAUCGUUUCCAAAAGUUGUUCAUAAAUUCUAAUAAAUGAUAAUGUUUUCAAAUUUUGUUUGAAAUUUUGAUCACUUUUUCAAAUUUUGUUUGGAAUUUCAAAAAAUGUUCCCAUUUUUAAUAUUUAUUUAUAGAAUAAAAAAUGUUUGCAUUUUUUUCAAAUUAUUCGAAAAAAAUUGUAGUUUUAAAAAGUAUUUGGAUUUUACCAAUAAUAUUCAUAUUCGAAAAAAUAAAUCAUAAAAAAAAAAGUUAAAUUAGAAAAGGACUAAAUAAUUGGUUCGUGCAGUGACUGCACACUACCGUGUGUUGGUUGCGCUAAAAUCCGUCGCUUCGCUAGGCAUGCUCGCUACUUGAAAAAAGGUGUCCAUCUAGUUUUUUAAAAAUCAUGUGAUUCUAAAAAGUGCUCAUCCAUUUAAAAAAUGUUCAUGUAGGUUUUAAAAACUGUACAUGCCUUUAAAAAAGUUCAUGUAACUAAAAAAACUCUCCUAUUUUAAAAAAUUGUGUAAGUUUGAAAGUGGUCACAACNNNNNNNNNNNNNNNNNNNNNNNNNNNNNNNNNNNNNNNNNNNNNNNNNNNNNNNNNNNNNNNNNNNNNNNNNNNNNNNNNNNNNNNNNNNNNNNNNNNNNNNNNNNNNNNNNNNNNNNNNNNNNNNNNNNNNNNNNNNNNNNNNNNNNNNNNNNNNNNNNNNNNNNNNNNNNNNNNNNNNNNNNNNNNNNNNNNNNNNNNNNNNNNNNNNNNNNNNNNNNNNNNNNNNNNNNNNNNNNNNNNNNNNNNNNNNNNNNNNNNNNNNNNNNNNNNNNNNNNNNNNNNNNNNNNNNNNNNNNNNNNNNNNNNNNNNNNNNNNNNNNNNNNNNNNNNNNNNNNNNNNNNNNNNNNNNNNNNGAAGCAGGGAUAUGAAGAAGGGAUGUCGAUUUCACAGAGAAUUACCAACGGCGAAGGAGAUGUGACCAUCAACUACUCGGAGAUUAUAUGGCGAGCCCACUCCUCCGGAUUCCCAUAGUCGCUUAUCGGAUGGCCAUCACACGACAUCAUCGCCUUGCUUCUGAUGCUGUGUGAAUGGCCACCCGCUGCCUCCCCAACUGACCCCGUAAUGGUGCUUGUCGUGCCUUAUGAAAGGCCAGCGUUCUUCCCUCUCGCUCAAUUGAAUCCCGUCUCCCGCGCCUCCCAAUCAAUCACUUCGAGUCAAUGGCACAGUGAAAGAAACUCCCCCUCCUAUUUUGGUCUAAGCAAGAGAAGAAGGAGGGACGGACGAAUUGGUCCCCUUUUGGGCCUUGUACGACAGUGCCAUGUACACAAAAAGGGAGCGACGAAAUUGGGAUGAGCACCCGCCGACACUGAUGCCCGUGCAUGGCGUGUGGGAUGAGGCUGUUGAGGCCCUUUUUCGGUUCGUCGCAAGCCACAAUGCCACCGCUCGCACAUGGUCAACGUGGGACGAGGCCCUCAAGGCGCGUUUUCGCGAGAUUGAGGAGUUCAAUUCCGCAUUCUGCGCCGUAUAUAGCUGCAAAUCUGUUGUCGUCGUCGCCAUGGUAGCCGCAAGUAAUUAGUUGUAGGCUACUUACUAGUUUUUUUUUCUGCGAGAAAACUUCCAAUCUAUUCAUCAAACAUUAAGGUAAUACAAAGAAUAUCAGAAGUACCAAAAAUUAUAUCCAAGACCACGUAGNNNNNNNNNNNNNNNNNNNNNNNNNNNNNNNNNNNNNNNNNNNNNNNNNNNNNNNNNNNNNNNNNNNNNNNNNNNNNNNNNNNNNNNNNNNNNNNNNNNNNNNNNNNNNNNNNNNNNNNNNNNNNNNNNNNNNNNNNNNNNNNNNNNNNNNNNNNNNNNNNNNNNNNNNNNNNNNNNNNNNNNNNNNNNNNNNNNNNNNNNNNNNNNNNNNNNNNNNNNNNNNNNNNNNNNNNNNNNNNNNNNNNNNNNNNNNNNNNNNNNNNNNNNNNNNNNNNNNNNNNNNNNNNNNNNNNNNNNNNNNNAAGGCCCCAUAGGACCGGCACACCAGAACAACAAUUGCCGCCGAUGGUAGCGUAGAUCGGAAGGUUUCAACAUGUAGACACAUGAACAUAGAGAAGACCGUAUCAAACCGGUUCCAUCGAAGACAAAGACCGAACGAAUCCCCUGAGAUCGGCCGGGGACACACCUCCACACGCGCAGCUAUGGCGCUAGACACACCACCGGGACGAGGGCUGGACAAGAAGAACCUUAUUCCAUCUUCGGGGGCGUUGCCGACUCACCUUCUUGAGCAAGACACAAACCCUAACAAAUCUUCAAAAACACCUAAACACGAAGCCCUCCCACCGGUAGGGGUCAGGAUCCACCGCGCCUACAUGGCCCUAAAGCCACAAGAGAUGAGGUAGAUCGGCGGCGGCAACGGGGGCAGUGGAAACCCUGUCGCAUUCGCCUUGACUCGCGGGUGAAGGGAACAAAGGGACACGUAUGGGUCAGUACAUGGCUAGUACUUAUUAGGUUAAUCAAUUAGUUAUUCUAUGAAUGUAAAUCACAGCGUGACUAAUUUCCUGACCCUAUUUAUAGAAUGAAAUUUGUGUUUUUGAAUCAAGUGUGUGCUUAUGAGUUAUGACUGGGGGAUUAUUGAGGAGAAUUUAUGACCCAUUGACAGAUGAGUCCUACUUUGAGGUAAUUUUAUGCAUGUUGAUUUUUUGAUGAUUCUGACUUUGCCAAAGUCCGUUUCAGCUAUCAUAUUUUUUAUGAUUGCCUGCAUAGCAUUUUUCGUGAUUCAAAUUAUGGCGACUUAUUAAUUGUUCUAGUGCCGCUAACUUCAGCUUUUGGCUCAGAUCGGCGGCUGGAACGUUCAGCACCAGACGACGUACGAAUCACUACUCCAGCUUCUUCUUCUUCCCAUCACACGCAUGGACAAGGCACCCGUGCGGCGUACGUGCCAGUGGAAUGCUUUUUUUUGGCGAAUGAAAAGCUUUCAUUGAUUAAGUGGGAUCAUUACAGUCUGCAUUACAAAGAAUGCCUUGCCGUAUAUCCAUUGCUUUACCGUGUUUUGUUAGUUUUUUUCUUGACGAAACCGUGUUUUGUUAGUUUGAAUGAAUACAAGGUAUGGUGUAUAGUUCUAUCGGUCCAACUUAUUUAUAUAACAUGUUAAAUGGUAAGAAAUAUUUUAGUGUUUUUUGAAGUGUUCAUGCAUUUUGAAAAAAUUAUUGUUAUUAUAAAAUAUUUUUAAAAAGUGUUUACCCAUUUUUAAAAAGUAUCAGUGAAAUUAAAAAAGGUGUUCAUCAAUUCUUUAGAAAAACGUGUAACUACAAAAGGUCUUCAAACAUUUUAAAAUAUCUUCAUGUAGGUUUAAGAAGUGUACAAGCCUUUAAAACUGUUCAUGUAACUAAAAAUGCACCUAUUUUAAAAUACUGUAUAAAUUUCGAAGUGGUCACAUAUUUUAGAGAAAAUGUUCAGCAUGUUUAUAAAAUGAUAGGGUAUUGUCCAAAAAAUGUAUAUCUUCUAAAAAGAUAAAAAACUUGGACAAGAAAACAAUAAAAGAAACAUAAACAAAAACAAAUCACACAAAAAAAACGAUGGGUGUGGCUGAGGUUGCUAGUAUGUUCGACCCGUGUGUCUUCCUCCAUAUAAGAGCAACUCUAGCAGAUGUGCUAUAUGUGGCGAUCGCCAUUAUAAUCACUAGUGUGGCAAUCAACAUAUAGAAAGGCGCUUUAACAGAUUGCCAUAUGCGUCGUGAUCGCCAUAUAUUAUGGAGCUCGCUUGGAAUAUGGAAGCUGUGGAGGCCUCCCUCGGAGCACUGUCCAAACCCAAUUGUCGUGGAAGGAGUGAAGUUUUAUAUUUUUUCCUCAUCACACCAAAGCCGGGAUUUGAAGCAGCGCUGCCGUCGACAUAGAAAAUCACCGGCGAGUGGGGAGACAUGACCGUCAAGCACCCGACAAUUAAAUGGCGCACCCGCUUGGUCAGAUUCAUGUAGCGACCCGUCGGAUGUCCACCACGCGACAUCAUCUCCUUGCUACGGAUGUUGUGUGAAUGGUCGUCGGCCGCCCGUCGCUCCCCAACUGCCCCCUUACUGGCUCUACGGCGGCCUAUAAAAGGCGGACGUCGUCCCCUCUCGCCCUAUACAAUCACCUCCCCAUUGCCUCCCAACCAUGACUUUGAGUCAAUCCCGCAGCGGAAGGAGCACCCUCUCAUCUUUCGGUCUGAGGAGGAGGAAAAGCAGGACGAGCUGGAUGAACACAACGUCGUGAACACUAGCCGGGUGAUGGAUGUGGAAAGCGAGCAACGUUUUUGGGACGAGCGCUUACCCCCGUCGCCAACGCCCGCACAUGGCCUGUGGGACGAGGGCGCAGAACCUUUUUCUGGUUCAUCACGGCCCACGGUGCCGCCGUCCGCGCAUGGCCGGCGUGGGACGAGGCCACCAAGGCCCGUUUUGCGAGAUUGCGGCGUCAUACCCCGCAUUCCACUGCCAGCAAAUCCCGCGGACUGCAUGCAAGUCGUUACAGAUAUCAAGCGAGGCUCUAGUUCCUCGUAUGCUUUUCUGCUUAGAGAGAUUAAUGAUAGGAUGAAUGAUUUUGUUAAAAUUAGUUUCUGUUUUGAGAGUAGGGAGUCGAACGUUGAGGCGCAUGCUUUGGCAAAGGCAGCGUCGUCGCUCCCGUCGGGUCGCCACAUGUGGCUAGGGAUCCUACCGGAUAUCAUUUGUAUUCCUUCUGUGUUGAACUUUGAAUAAAGUUCCUAGUUUCACCUAAAAAAAAGUAAUUAGUUGUAUGCUAUUCAUCGGUGUAAACAAUUAGUUAUUCUAUGAAUUUAAGUCACAGUGCAACUAAUUUUUCAUCCCUGUUUAUAGGAAUGAAAUGUGUGUUUCUGAAUCAAAUGUGUGCUUUUGAAUCGGCGAUUAUUGGGAAAGAAGCGAUGAGCCAAUGAUAGGUAGGUCAUUUUUUUUGCAAGGACCCAAUGACAGGUAGGUCCUACUUCAAGAGAAUUUUAUGCAUGUUGAUUUUUUGGCGAUUCUGAUUUUGCCAAAACCCGUAAUAGCCUUCUUCUUUUUUAUGAUUGUUUGCAUACCACUCUUGGUGGUUCAAAUUAUGACAACUCUAAUGCUCUAAUGCUACUAGAGUUGCCCUAAUGCAACUAGCUUCAGCUUUUGGCACAAUGGGCGGCUGGAACGUGCAGCAUGGACCGAGACGACGUAGGAAUCACUAGCCCAUCUUCUUCUUCGGAUCGCAUGCAUGGAGAAGGCACCCGUACUGUACGUACCAGUGGAAUAACAAAGAUGUGUACCGGUGUAAUGUCACGUACCAUGGAAGAUAUAGAAAGCAUCCUGGCAGGAGUAGAAAAAAGAGGAAAGAGAGAAGUGACGUUUUGAGCACGACGAUCGGGCUUUCUUGGAUUCCCUUGGAAACCAUAAUAUCAAUCAAAGCACAUGUGUGCAUGUACUUCUUGCUUUUCAAUGGUACAGAGAAGAAACAAAGAAUUUGUGCGGACGCACGUUCGCCCGUGGAAUGCUGAACCAUUUUGGACUCGAAAGUCUUGGUAGAGACAAAGUGAUCGUACGUUUACACCAACUGUGGUCGACUAGCUACAACACAUGCAUGCAUGUCUAUCACCAAAUUGAAUAUACUAUGCUCCAACCAAUGGAUGGGUCUAGCGAGCGCCCACUGGCUCGCUAGGGAUCCGAGCGGGCAAAUUUGACAAAUUUGACCUAUGUACGAAAUCAAAUCACAAAAUGAACUGUCCGUGAAACUAUUUCACGCGGCUGACCUUUUUGUGUGACGCCCGACACGAAGGCGCCACACUACACUGUGCAACGCCUCAUAAAUAGGCGCUACACGGCCAGCGUCGCACCCGUGUGAUCCAAAAAUUACUAAGUCAGUGUGCAGCGCCUCAGAGCUAGGCUAGGCGCUACACUAUACAGUGUAGCGCCUAGCUCCUAGGCGUUGCACUAGUGCAGCGCCUAGCUCCUAGGCGUUGCACUAAUGCAGCGCCUAGCUCCUAGGCGUUGCACUAGUGCAGCGCCUGAGAGCUAGGCGCCACGGGUAAGCCGCGUGAAAUAGUUUCACGGACAGUUCAUUCUGUGAUUUGAUUUCGUCUAUAGGUCAAACUAGCAAAAGGGCCCCUGCGUUGCAACGGGAGAAAAUAUCCCCAAAAAUCAGGCUCUCUUUUCUUAGUGAAAAUUCACUGGUCAAUGCUAAUAUGUGUUUCCAGGCAGGUGUAUGAUGUUCAGAUCAUAAGAUAUUUAAUAGCGUAAAACAAAAAGGUCAUUGCUAGCAAUUUUAAUUACAAAAAGUAACUUCUUUUAGGAUUUGUCUUGUGUUUUCAGGGAUUAGAAGUAUAUGAAAAUAUAGGAAUGCAUCAAUAUAUCUCAUCCGAGAUAAGAAGGACAAUUCUUGAGAAAAAUGAUUGAAAAUUUGAAAAACAAAUGUUAGUCAUGCAUGCUUGCAUAGUUACCAUGGAUGGAUGAAUGCACGAUGCAUAUUUUUUAUAUUAGUUAUCACUUAGACGUUAAUAGUUUGUAAACAUUUUGCAUAUACCAAACUCAAAGCCUAUUUGAAUAUUGUAAAUGGUAUAAUUGACUCAACCAAUAUCAUAACACCAAUAACUAUAUUAGCAUACAUAUGUAUUCACCCGCAAAAAAAAAAGCAUACAUAUGUAUUGGCUGAGCAAGUAACAAAAGAAUUUAGUCCACAUAUGUAUGUUUAUGCACAAAAAUCUGGGAAAGUUGUUGUCAUAACAGGCAUAACAAUAGGAGUUCUUUACCAACAUGGGUGUGUACUAACAUUCAGAAUGCGUGGCAAAAUGAAUAGCUACAACACUUAGGCCACGAAAUUCACUCAAACUAAAUAAAGCUACUUUUGAGAACACUAAAGUUCUUUUGAGCUCCUUAAUUGAUCUCUCCAAUAGCUUGACUUCUUCAUCCAAGAGUACAAAAGAAGGGUUCUAAAAGAAGAAAAACGGAAGCAUUAUUAAGAGCAGAAAACAUUAAUCAAAUAGCAUGAACACCUGGCUGGCGUCCGUAGCAAUUACUUCCCUUUGUUUUACCACUGGCAAAGCAUCUCCAGCUUUUCUCUCAGAGAGGCACCUGGGAGUCACAUUAUGGCUUCUCUUCUGAGAGCUUGGAGAAGUUAUUCUGCAAAUUUUGAAGCAAAUCGUUCCUUUCAUCGUCAAGUAAAUUUCUGAGCUCAAUCAACACUUCCUCCAAUAUUGGAGUGGCAUUUCUAUUAUGGGCUAACUCCUAUUUCACAGAGCAAUCAAUCCGUUCAAUAUGGAUGAGCUGAGGUCGCAAAUCAGUGUUCACUAUAGAAACUGCAUUUGGUUUGCAAACUACACUUGCUGGCUGCUCCUCCAACACCAAAAUCUUUUUUUACUCUUCAUAAUUUAAGAAUGUGCAUGAUUAAUCAAUUUAAACUCACUGGAUUGGAUGGAUGGAGUGUCUAAAUAGUAGGAUUAAACAAUUGGUCCUUUACUGACUGAUUAAUUAGUGAACUAAACAUUUUUCUGAAUCUUUGCUUUAAUGGAUGUGCAUGAUUAAUCAGUUAACACUACAGUGGGGGAGGACAUCCUGAUGGAGCGGCGCAACCUACUUGACCAGCAAGCCCCACGCCUUCAAAUUAUUUUAGGAGAUCUAACAACAUUAAAUAAGAAGCAUCAUCUCAUUAAAGUCCUCUUUAUUUAUUUUAUCGGAGGCUCGGAAGAACUUAGUCUCUUCAAAAUAAGAAGCAUCAUCCAUGGUCGAUUUCUGGACCAAAAUAACUACAUGCAUAAACGGACUCUCAUGCCAAGUUGCAAACAGAUCAGGGAAAACACCCACAAACUUGAAUAAAACGUUGUGAUUUUUCAGCAAAAAUAAUGUUAUGUGAUCGAAAUGAAACAAUUGUUGUUCAGAUAUAUCAGUUUCGAUUGAAUCUAUUAUGGCAUUGACAGAAGCAGUAGACAUCCAGCCAUAAACAUAUCACUGGCCAUAGGUUUUAUUUUUAUUUUUUGGCAUGCACUGGCUAUAGGUAGAUAACAUAAGAGCUAGGAUCCAACAGUUAGGCAGAACAAGUAAGACACCAAGUCGCAUAAUCAAAAUAUGCCCAUUUGCACACAUGUAAAUAGUUUGAACGUACUGAAACACAAAGAAAGUAAAUAGUAGAUUAUAUUGUCCUAAGUUGAUCUUGCUUGAUAGCAUUAUCUAGAGAAUAUCAAAAGGAAAAACAUAACUAACCUUGACCUGUUUGUAGCGAUCCAGAUUUUACACACUCUGGUCGUUUCAUCUGAAAUCACAUGAAAAAGUGUUGCUUUUCUUUGGCCGCUGAAAGGGAAAGUACCAAUCUCCACUUCGAUCCUCCCUCUGUAAUAUUAUAAAAAAAAGCAGUCAACAGAGCAUCGCCCUCCCACCAUGCCUGUUCUGAUAGACACACAAAAGAAUACACAAAGCAUCUUCCAUCAGUUUUUAUAACUUGCUAGAAAUACUGUUAGAAUUAAUGGGCUAGGCCCAUAGCAAUUUCUGAAAUCUCAAAGCCCAUGUGUAAAAUGGCAAGUGGUGGUGCUAAGUUUAGUCCCACCUUGGAAGUUGAAGAAGAGUUGGACCUCUUUAUAUAGUGGGUUCUCUCCACCACUCUAAGUGGUGUGUGAGAAGAGAAAGGGAAAACCACACGCGCGCUUGCUCGCCUCGCCUGGCCGGGGCGCAUGCGACAUGCGCGUGAAUGGUCCGCCGAAAUCCGGUCCGUCUCCUUGCAGGAGCGCAGCUUCCUUUUGCCGUUUUAUUUUUAUGUCUUGGCAGACAAGUUUUUGAUUUCUUGUCCGGUAAGUAUACGAAUUAGAAACCGAGUCGGUUUGGGAUUGUGGUCGCGACACAAUACCGCCUCUGGUCCUAAUAUAUAUACAGCUACCGGCUGCGGCCAGAGACACACCGAAAAACACCUAGGGUUUUGCCUCAUCUCACAACUUGCGCCGCCAUCGUAGUCUACUCCAUCCCAAACGCCGGCGUGCAUCGGCGCGUGGGAGAGCAGGUCUCCGGAACCGUUCGUCUUUGCGAUCCUGCACCGGGAGAGGACGAAUUAGGUUUUUGGGAAGCGCUGUGCGCGACUGCUCAAAUUCGUCAUCACGGGUCGUCUUCCGUCCAAGUCGGGCGGUGCUACUCAUCGUCGUAUUCAUCGCCGUCAGCAGCAGAUCGUCGCCAACAUCGUCAUCAACACUGUCGCACCCAUAAUAGCUAACGAUCAGUACGUCCAACAUCCUUUGUUCAUGUCUGUUUCUACAGCUAUUGUUACGUGUUUGCUGCUGUUAUGCAUGUCUUGCUGUUCUUCUAGUUUGCUAGAUUAUUGCAUGCUACUAUCUCUUCUAGUCAUGAAUUAUUUACUGGAAUUAAUCAUGAACUUGCCUAAUAUUCCAACAAAUACAUGCAAACAUCAUCCAACAAAUGAACGGCUUGUGCGAUUUGUUUGCAAGCAAAUAGAACGAAUUAUUGCAAACCUGAACAUAAUUCUAUUGUCUAUGCAUCUUUUCUCUCAGCUCUAAAAAAAAUCUUCUAGCAAUUUCUAAAAAGAAUUUGAAUGAAGCUACUGUACGUUUGUAGACAGCCACACAACAAAUUUAAGGUCACAGGAGCAACAAAGCAUCAGGGAUCCUCCUGCGGUACACACGGUCCUCAACGAUAGAGUUGCCUGGUUAGUGGGCUGCCCACAGAGCAUCGACCAGAGCGUGAAUAAUCAACGGAGUUUGUAAUCGUAGCCCUACACACGAAAUUCCAUGAGCAUGGAUAAACUGAUCUUGUGAUUUGGUAGAAGCAGCAAAUUAUAGUACCGGCUGAAUAAACAGCUUGUGCCAUUUAUAGAUAAACUGAAACCCUCACGUAGUCAGCCAGUACUAUAAUAUGGUAGUAGCAACAGGCAGCUCACCAUUUGGAACCCAGCCGCGAAGGUACCACCGGUCGCCGCUAUACCGGGGCUCGUCCUGGAACUCCUUCGGCGCACUUCUGGAGGAACCUCGCCAGCUUCUCCGGCAGCGUCACCGGUGGCAGCUCCCCUCUAGUCGCCGGAUCCCUUUGUAAAACGGACUCGGUUCGAUCAGAGAGGAGGAAGCUAGGGACGUGGUGCAGCGCGUGAACGAAAUAUGCCCUAGAGGCAAUAAUAAAGUAUUAUAUAUUUUUUUAUAUCAUGAUAAAUGUUUAUUAUUCAUGCUAGAAUUGUAUUAACCGGAAACAUAGUACAUGUGUGAAUACAUAGACAAACAGAGUGUCACUAGUAUGCCUCUACUUGACUAGCUCGUUAAUCAAAGAUGGUUAUGUUUCCUAGCCAUAAACAUGAGUUGUCAUUUGAUUAACGGGAUCACCUCAUUAGGAGAAUGACGUGAUUGACUUGACCCAUUCCGUUAGCUUAGCACCCGAUCGUUUAGUAUGUUGCUAUUGCUUUCUUCAUGACUUAUACAUGUUCCUAUGACUAUGAGAUUAUGCAACUCUCGUUUACCGGAGGAACACUUUGUGUGCACCAAACGUCACAACGUAAAUGGGUGAUUAUAAAGGUGCUCUAUAGGUGUCUCCAAAGGUACUUGUUGGGUUGGCGUAUUUCGAGAUUAGGAUUUGUCACUCCAAUUGUCGGAGAGGUAUCUCUGGGCCCACUCGGUAAUUCACAUCACUAUAAGCCUUGCAAGCAUUGUGACUAAUGAGUUAGUUGCGGGAUGAUGUAUUACAGAACGAGUAAAGAGAUUUGCCGGUAACGAGAUUGAACUAGGUAUCGAGAUACCGACGAUCAAAUCUCGGGCAAGUAACAUACCGGUGACAAAGGGAACAACAUAUGUUGUUAUGCGGUCUGACCGAUAAAGAUCUUCGUAGAAUAUGUGGGAGCCAAUAUGGGCAUCCAGGUCCCGCUAUUGGUUAUUGAUCGGAGACGUGUCUCGGUCAUGUCUACAUAGUUCUCGAACCCGUAGGGUCCGCACGCUUAACGUUACGAUGACAGUUUUAUUGAGUUUUGAUGUACCGAAGGAGUUCGGAGUCCCGGAUGAGAUCGGGGAUAUGACGAGGAGUCUCGAAAUGGUCGAGACAUAAAGAUCGAUAUAUUGGACGACUAUAUUCGGACUUCGAAAAGGUUCCGAGUGAUUCGGGUAUUUUUCGGAGUACCGGAGAGUUACGGGAAUUCGUGUUGGGCCUUAAUGGGCCAUACGGGAAAGGAGAGAAAGGCCUCAAAAGGUGGCCGCACCCCUCCCCAUGGUCUGGUCCGAAUUGGACUAGGGAGGGGGGCGCACCCUUCCUUCUUUCUCCUUCCCCCUUCCCUUCUCCUACUCCCACAAGGAAAGGAGGAGUCCUACUCCCGGUGGGAGUAGGACUCCCCCCUAUGGCGCGCCUCUCCCCUUGGCCGGCUGCCUCCCCCUUGCUCCUUUAUAUACGGGGGCAGGGGGGCACCCCAGAGACACAACAAUUGAUCCUUGAGAUCUCUUAGCCGUGUGCGGUGCCCCCUCCACCAUAUUACACCUCGAUAAUACCGUUGCGGAGCUUAGGCGAAGCCCUGCGUCGGUGGAACAUCAUCAUCGUCACCACGCCGUCGUGCUGACGAAACUCUCCCUCAACACUGCGCUGGAUCGGAGUUCGAGGGACGUCAUCGAGCUGAACGUGUGUAGAACUCGGAGGUGCCGUACGUUCGGUACUUGAUCGGUCGGAUCAUGAAGACGUACGACUACAUCAACCGCGUUGUGAUAACGCUUCCGCUGUCGGUCUACGAGGGUACGUGGACAACACUCUCCCCUCUCGUUGCUCUGCAUCACCAUGAUCUUGCGUGUGCGUAGGAAUUUUUUUGAAAUAACUACGUUCCUCAAUAGUGGCAUCCAAGCCUGGUUUUAUGUGUUGAUGCUAUGCAUGAGUAGAACACAAGUGAGUUGUGGGCGAUAUAAGUCAUACUGCUUACCAGCAUGUCAUACUUUGGUUCAGCGGUAUUGUGAGAUGAAGCGGCCCGGACCGACAUUACGCGUACGCUUACGCGAGACUGGUUUCACCGUUGCGAGCACUCGUUGCUUAAAGGUGACCGGCGGGUGUCUGUCUCUCUCACUUUAGUUGAACCGAGUGUGGCUACGCCCGGUCCUUGCGAAUGUUAAAACAGCACCAACUUGACAAACUAUCGUUGUGGUUUUGAUGCGUAGGUAAGAACGGUUCUUGCUAAGCCCGUAGCAGCCACGUAAAAUAUGCAACAACAAAGUAGAGGACGUCUAACUUGUUUUUGCAGGGCAUGUUGUGAUGUGAUAUGGUCAAGACAUGAUGUGAUAUAAUGUGUUGUAUGAGAUGAUCAUGUUUUGUAACCGAGUUAUCGGCAACUGGCAGGAGCCAUAUGGUUGUCGCUUUAUUGUAUGAGAUGCAAUCGCCAUGUAAUAGUUUUACUUUAUCACUAAGCGGUAGCGAUAGUCCUAAAAGCAAUAAGUUGGCGAGACGACAACGAUGCUACGAUGGAGAUCAAGGUGUCGCGCCGGUGACGAUGGUGAUCAUAACGGUGCUUCGGAGAUGGAGAUCACAAGCACGGUGCUUCGGAGAUGGAGAUCACAAGCACGGUGCUUCGGAGAUGGAGAUCACAAGCACAAGAUGAUGAUGGCCAUAUCAUAUCACUUAUAUUGAUUGCAUGUGAUGUUAAUCUUUUAUGCAUCUUAUCUUGCUUUGAUUGACGGUAGCAUUAUAAGAUGAUCUCUCACUAAAAUUUCAAGAUAAAAGUGUUCUCCCUGAGUAUGCACCGUUGCAAAAGUUCUUCGUGCUGAGACACCACGUGAUGAUCGGGUGUGAUAGGCUCUACGUUCAAAUACAACGGGUGCAAAACAGUUGCACACGCGGAAUACUCAGGUUAAACUUGACAAGCCUAGCAUAUGCAGAUAUGGCCUCGGAACACGGAGACCGAAAGGUCGAGCGUGAAUCAUAUUGUAGAUAUGAUCAACAUAGUGAUGUUCACCAUUGAAACUAUUCCAUCUCACGUGAUGAUCGGACAUGGUUUAGUUGAUAUGGAUCACGUGAUCACUUAGAGGAUUAGAGGGAUGUCUAUCUAAGUGGGAGUUCUUAAGUAAUAUGAUUAAUUGAACUUAAAUUUAUCAUGAACUUAGUCCUGAUAGUAUUUUGCAAAUUAUGUUGUAGAUCAAUAGCUCGCGUUGUUGCUUCCCUGUGUUUAUUUUUGAUAUGUUCCUAGAGAAAAAUUAUGUUGAAAGAUGUUAGUAGCAAAGAUGCGGAUUGGAUCCGUGAUCUGAGGAUUAUGCUCAUUGCUGCACAGAAAAAUUAUGUCCUUGAUGCACCGCUAGGUGACAGACCUAUUGCAGGAGCAGAUGCAGACGUUAUGAACGUUUGGCUAGCUCAAUAUGAUGACUACUUGAUAGUUUAGUGCACCAUGCUUAACGGCUUAGAAUCGGGACUUCAAAGACGUUUUGAACGUCAUGGACCAUAUAAGAUGUUCCAGGAGUUGAAGUUAAUAUUUCAAGAAAAUACCCGAGUUGAGAGAUAUGAAGUCUCCAACAAGUUCUAUAGCUAAAAGAUGGAGGAGAAUCGCUCAACUAGUGAGCAUGUGCUCAGAUUGUCUGGGUACUACAAUCGCUUGAAUCAAGUGGGAGUUAAUCUUCCAGAUAAAAUAGUGAUUGACAGAAUUCUCUAGUCACCAUCACCAAGUUAGUAGAACUUCGUGAUGAACAACAGUAUGCAAGGGAUGACGAAAGUAAUUCCCGAGCUCUUCGUGAUGCUGAAAUCGACGAAGGUAGAAAUCAAGAAAAACAUCAAGUGUUGAUGGUUGACGAGACCACUAGUUUCAAGAAAAGGGCAAAGGGAAGAAGGGGAACUUCAAAAAGAACGGCAAGCAAGUUGCUACUCAAGUGAAGAAGCCCAAGUCUGUACCUAAGCCUGAGACUAAGUGCUUCUACUGCAAAAGGGACUGGUCACUGGAAGCGGAACUACCCCAACUAUUUGGUGGAUAAGAAGGAUGGCAAAGUGAACAAAGGUAUAUUGGAUAUACAUGUUAUUGAUGUGUACUUUACUAGUGUUUAUAGCAACCCCUCGGUAUUUGAUACUGGUUCAGUUGCUAAAGUAGUAACUCGAAUCGGGAGUUGCAGAAUAAACAGAGACUACUAAAAGGCGAGGUGACGAUGUGUGUUGGAAGUAGUUCCAAGAUUGAUAUGAUCAUCAUCGCACACUCCCUAUACUUUCGGGAUUAAUGUUGAAACUAAAUAAGUGUUAUUUGGUGUUUGCGUUGAGCAUGAAUAUGAUUUGAUCAUGUUAUUGCAAUACGGUUAUUCAUUUAAGUUAGAGAACAAUUGUUGUUCUGUUUACAUGAAUAAAAACCUUCUAUGGUCAUACACACCAACGAAAAUGGUUUGUUGGAUCUCUAUCGUAGUGAUACACAUAUUCAUAAUAUUGAAGCCAAAAGAUGCAAAGUUAAUAAUGAUAGUGCAACUUAUUUGUGGCACUGCCGUUUAGGUCAUAUUGGUGUAAAGCGCAUGAAGAAACUCCAUACUGAUGGGAUUUUGGAAUCACUUGAUUAUGAAUCACUUGAUGCUUGCGAACCGUGCCUCAUGGGCAAGAUGACUAAAACGCCGUUCUCCGGAACUAUGGAGAGAGCAAUAGAUUUGUUGGAAAUCAUACAUACAGAUGUAUGUGGUCCGAUGAAUAUUGAGGCUGAUAGCAGGUAUCAUUAUUUUUUGACCUUCAUAGAUGAUUUGAGCAUAUAUGGGUAUAUCUGCUUAAUGAAAUAGAAGUCUGAAACAUUUGAAAAGUUCAUAUAAUUUCAGAGUGAAGCGAAAAAUCAUCGUAACAAGAAAAUAAAGUUUCUACGAUCUAAUCGUGGAGAAGAGUAUUUGAGUUACGAGUUUGGCCUUCAGUUAAAACAAUGUGAAAUAGUUUCACUACUCACGCCACCUGGAACACCACGGUGUAAUGGUGUGUCCGAACAUCGUAACCGUACUUUAUUAGAUAUGGUGCGAUAUAUGAUGUCUCUUACCGAUCUACCACUAUCGUUUUGGGGUUAUGCAUUAGAGACAGCUGCAUUCACGUUAAAUAGGGCACCAUCAAAAUCCGUUAAGACGACGCCUUAUGAACUGUGGUUUAGCAAGAAACCAAAGUUGUCGUUUCUUAAAAGUUUGGGGUUGCGAUGCUUAUGUGAAAAGGUUUCAUCCUGAUAAGCUCAAACCCAAAUCGGAGAAAUGUGUCUUCAUAGGAUACCCAAAGGAGACAGUUGGGUACACCUUCUAUCACAGAUCCGAAGGCAAGACAUUCGUUGCUAAGAAUGGAUCCUUUCCAGAGAAGGAGUUUCUCUCGAAAGAAGUGAGUGGGAGGAAAGUAGAACUUGAUGAGGUAACUGUAACUGCUCCCUUAUUGGAAAGUAGUUCAUCACAGAAAUCUGUUCCUGUGACUCCUACACCAAUUAGUGAGGAAGUUAAUGAUGAUGAUGUAACUUCAGAUCAAGUUACUACCAAACCUCGUAGGUAAACCAGAGUAAGAUCCGCACCAGAGUGGUACGGUAAUCCUGUUCUGGAGGUUAUGUUACUAGACCAUGACGAACCUACGAACUAUGAAGAAGCGAUGGUGAGCCCAGAUUCCGCAAAAUGGCUUGAGGCCAUGAAAUCUGAGAUGGGAUCCAUGUAUGAGAACAAAGUAUGGACUUUGGUUGACUUGCCCAAUGAUCGGCAAGCCAUUGAGAAUAAAUGGAUCUUCAAGAGGAAGACGGACGCUGAUAGCAGUGUUACUAUCUACAAAGCUAGAAUUGUCGCAAAAAGGUUUUCGACAAGUUCAAAGUGUUGACUACGAUGAGAGCAUCUCACUCGUAUCUAUGCUUAAGUCUGUCUGAAUCAUGUUAGCAAUUGCCGCAUUUUAUGAAAUAUGGCAAAUGGAUAAACAAAACUGCAUUCCUUAAUGCAUUUAUUAAAGAAGAGUUGUAUAUGAUGCACCCAGGAGGUUUUGUCAAUCCUAAAGGUGCUAACAAAAUAUGCAAGCUCCAGCGAUCCAUCUAUGGACUGGUGCAAGCAUCUCGGAGUUGGAAUAUACACUUUGAUAAGUUGAUCAAAGGAUAUAGUUUUAUACAGACUUGCGGUUACAGCAUUUCUGAUAAGUAUAUGUGAAUGACAUAUUGUUGAUCGGAAAUAAUGUAGAAUUAUUCUGUAAAGCAUAAAGGAGUGUUUUGAAAUGAGUUUUUCAAGGAAAGACCUCAGUGAAGCUGCUUACAUAUUGAGCAUCAAGAUCUAUAGAGAUAGAUGAAGACGCUUGAUAAGUUUUUCAAUGAGUACAUACCUUAACAAGAUUUUGAAAUAGUUCAAAAUAGAACAGUCAAAGAAAGAGUUCUUGCCUGUGUUACAAGGUGUGAAAUUGAGUAAAGACUCAAAGCCCGACCACGGCAAAAGAUAGAAAGAGAAUGAAAGUCAUUCCCUAUGCCUUGGCCAUAGGUUCUAUAAAGUAUGCCAUGCUGUGUACCAGAUCUAUUGUAUACCCUACACUGAUUUUGGCAAGGGAGUACAAUAGUGAUCUAGGAGUAGAUCACUGGACAGCGGUCAAAAUUAUCCUUAGUGGAAUAAGGAUAUGUUUCUCGAUUAUGGAAGUGACAAAAGGUUCAUCGUAAAGGGUUACGUCGAUGCAAGUUUUGACACUAAUCUAGAUGACUCUAAGUCUCGAUCUAGAUACAUAUUGAAAGUGGGAGAAAUUAGCUAAGAGUAGCUCCGUGCAGAGCGUUGUAAACUUAGAAAUUUGCAAAAUACUUACGGAUCUGAAUGUGACAGACCCGUUGACUAAAAUUAUCUCACAAUCAAAACAUGAUCACACCUUAGUACUCUUUAGGUGUUAAUCACAUAGCGAUGUGAACUAGAUUAUUGACUCUAGUAAACCCUUUGAGUGUUGGUCACAUAGAGAUGUGAACUAUGGGUGUUAAUCACAUGGUGAUGUGAAUUAUUGAUGUUAAAUCACAUGGUGAUGUGAACUAGAUUAUUGACUCUAGUGCAAGUGGGAGACUGAAGGAAAUAUGCCCUAGAGGCAAUAAUAAAGUAUUAUAUAUUUCCUUAUAUCAUGAUAAAUGUUUAUUAUUCAUGCUAGAAUUGUAUUAACCGGAAACAUAAUACAUGUGUGAAUACAUAGACAAACAGAGUGUCACUAGUAUGCCUCUACUUGACUAACUCGUUAAUCAAAGAUGGUUAUGUUUCCUAACCAUAAACAUGAGUUGUCAUUUGAUUAACGGGAUCACCUCAUUAGGAGAAUGACGUGAUUGACUUGACCCAUUCCGUUAGCUUAGCACCCGAUCGUUUAGUAUGUUGCUAUUGCUUUCUUCAUGACUUAUACAUGUUCCUAUGACUAUGAGAUUAUGCAACUCUCGUUUACCGGAGGAACACUUUGUGUGCUACCAAACGUCACAACGUAAAUGGGUGAUUAUAAAGGUGCUCUACAGGUGUCUCCAAAGGUACUUGUUGGGUUGGCGUAUUUCGAGAUUAGGAUUUGUCACUCCAAUUGUCAGAGAGGUAUCUCUGGGCCCAUUUGGUAAUGCACAUCACUAUAAGCCUUGCAAGCAUUGUGACUAAUGAGUUAGUUGCGGGAUGAUGUAUUACGGAACGAGUAAAGAGAUUUGCCGGUAACGAGAUUGAACUAGAUAUCAAGAUACCGACGAUCAAAUCUCGGGCAAGUAACAUACCGGUGACAAAGGGAACAACGAAUGUUGUUAUGCGGUCUGACCGAUAAAGAUCUUCGUAGAAUAUGUGGGAGCCAAUAUGGGCAUCCAGGUCCCGCUAUUGGUUAUUGAUCGGAGACGUGUCUCGGUCAUGUCUACAUAGUUCUCGAACCCGUAGGGUCCGCACGCUUAACGUUACGAUGACAGUUUUAUUGAGUUUUGAUGUACCGAAGGAGUUCGGAGUCCCGGAUGAGAUCGGGGAUAUGACGAGGAGUCUCGAAAUGGUCGAGGCGUAAAGAUCGAUAUAUUGGACGACUAUAUUCGGACUUCGGAAAGGUUCCGAGUGAUUCGGGUAUUUUUCGGAGUACCGGAGAGUUACGGGAAUUCGUAUUGGGCCUUAAUGGGCCAUACGGGAAAGGAGAGAAAGGCCUCAAAAGGUGGCCGCACCCCUCCCCAUGGUCUGGUCCGAAUUGGACUAGGGAAGGGGGGCGCACCCUUCCUUCUUUCUCCUUCCCCCUUCCCUUCUCCUACUCCCACAAGGAAAGGAGGAGGGAGUAGGACUCCCCCCUAUGGCGCGCCUCUCCCCUUGGCCGGCUGCCUCCCCCUUGCUCCUUUAUAUACGGGGGUAGGGGGCACCCCAGAGACACAACAAUUGAUCCUUGAGAUCUCUUAGCCGUGUGCGGUGCCCCCCUCCACCAUAUUACACCUCGAUAAUACCGUUGCGGAGCUUAGGCGAAGCCCGGCGUCGGUGGAACAUCAUCAUCGUCACCACGCCGUCGUGCUGACGAAACUCUCCCUCAACACUGGGCUGGAUCGGAGUUCGAGGGACGUCAUCGAGCUGAACGUGUGUAGAACUCGGAGGUGCCGUACGUUCGGUACUUGAUCGGUCGGAUCGUGAAGACGUACAACUACAUCAACCGCGUUGUGAUAACGCUUCCGCUGUCGGUCUACGAGGGUACGUGGACAACACUCUCCCCUCUCGUUGCUAUGCAUCACCAUGAUCUUGCGUGUGCGUAGGAAAUUUUUUGAAAUUACUACGUUCCCCAGCAGUGCGGGUAGCAGCGAAUUAGCGCCGCCUCUUCCAUCCUCAGCCGCCAGCUCGCCGACCGCCCUCUCCAUCCCCGGCCUCGAUCUUGCCAGCACCCGCCCACUCCAUCCCCGUCCACGAUUGUGACGCCCCCGAUUUGACCGUACACUAAUCAUGCACGCAAAUGUGUACGAUCAAGAUCAGGGACUCACGGGAAGAUAUCACAACACAACUCUACAACAUAAAUAAGUCAUACAAGCAUCAUAAUACAAGCCAAGGGCCUCGAGGGCUCGAAUACAAGUGCUCGAUCAUAGACGAGUCAGCGGAAGCAACAAUAUCUGAGUACAGACAUAAGUUAAACAAGUUUGCCUUAAGAAGGCUAGCACAAAAGUAGCAACGAUCGAAAAGGCAAGGCCUCCUGCCUGGGACCUCCUAACUACUCCUCGAAGCCGAACUCCAUGUAGAAUCAUCCUCGGGAUCUCUAGCUCCUGGACUCCAGCAUCUGGUUGCGACAACCAGGUAUAGAAAGGGGAAAAGAGGGAGAAAAGCAACCGUGAGUACUCAUCCAAAGUACUCGCAAGCAAGGAGCUACACUACAUAUGCAUGGGUAUAUGUGUAAAGGACCAUAUCGGUGGACUGAACUGCAGAAUGCCAGAAUAAGAGGGGGAUAGCUAAUCCUGUCGAAGACUACGCUUCUGGCCACCUCCAUCUUGCAGCAUGUAGGAGAGAGUAGAUUGUAAGUUCACCAAGUAGCAUCGCAUAGCAUAAUCCUACCCGGCGAUCCCCUCCUCGUCGCCCUGUUAGAGAGCGAUCACCGGGUUGUAUCUGGCACUUGGAAGGGUGUAUUUUAUUCAGUAUCCGGUUCUAGUUGUCAUAAGGUCAAGGUACAACUCCGGGUCGUCCUUUUACCGAGGGACACGGCUAUUCGAAUAGAUAAACUUCCCUGCAGGGGUGCACCACAUAACCCAACACGCUCGAUCCCAUUUGGCCGGACACACUUUUCUGGGUCAUGCCCGGCCGCGGAAGAUCAACACGUCGCAGCCCCACCUAGGCUCAACAGAGUGGUCAACACGCCAGUCUAAAUCCUAUGCGCGCAGGGGUCUGGGCCCAUCGCCCAUUGCACACCUGCAUGUUGCGUGCGCGGCCGGAAGCAGACCUAGCCUAGUAGGCGUUCCAGUCCAAUCCGGCGCGCGUCGCUCCGUCGCUGACGUCAAGAAUAGCUUCGGCUGAUACCACGACGUCGGGAUACCCAUAACUACUCCCGAGUAGAUGGUUAGUGCGUAUAGACCAAAUGGCCAGACUCAGAUCAAAUACCCAGAACUCGUUAAGCGUGUUAUUUAUCCGCGAACGCCGACCAGGGCCAGGUCCACCUCUCUCCUAGGUGGUCUCAACCUGCCCUGUCGCUCCGCCAUAAAGUAACAGUCGGGGGCCGUCAGGAACCCAGGCCCACCUCUACCGGGAUGAAGCCACCUGUCCUUUCAGCCCCCUUAUCAGAAUCACUUGCGGGUACUCCUCGAGCCGACCCGACUUUAGUCACCACAUGUGUCAUGUAUAUAAUGUAUAUAGUGUAUACCCAUGAUCACCUCCCGAAGUGAUCACGGCCCAAUAGUAUAGCAUGGCAGACGGAGAAGAGUGUAGGGCCACUGAUGGAACACUAGCAUCCUAUACUAAGCAGUAGGAUAGCAGGUAAGGGUAACAACUGUAGCAACAAUGACAGGCUAUGCAUCAGGAUAGGAUUAACGGAAAGCAGUAACAUGCUACACUACUCUAAUGCAAGCAGUAUAGAGAAGACUAGGCGAUAUCUGGUGAUCAACGGGGGGGCUUGCCUGGUUGCUCUGGCAAGUAGGAGGGGUCGUCAACUCCGUAGUCGAACUGGGCAGCAGCAGUGUCGGUCUCGUAGUCUACCGGAGAGAAGAGGGGGGAAGAAACAGUAAAUACAAUGCAAACAUAAGCAUGACGAUGCAUGACAUGACAAUGAACAGUGCCAGGUGUGUCCUAACGCGACAGUAGGUGGUAUCGGCGAAGGGGGCGAACAUCCGGGAAAGUAUUCCUGAUGUUUUGCGUUUUCGGACAGAUGGACCGGAGGGGGAAAGUUGCGAGUUCGAUAGGUUUGGGAGGUGUGGUGGACGAACGGACUGCGUAUCCGGAUUCGUCUCGUCGUUCUGAGCAACUUUCAUAUACAAAGUUUUUCCAUUCGAGCUACGGAUUAUUUUAUAUUAAUUUUUAAAGAUUUAAAUCAUUUUAGGAUUUAUUUAAUUAAUUUAUUCAACAUUAUCCAGAACAGUAAAAUAUGACGUCAGCAUGAUGUCAUGCUGACGUCAGCAGUCAACAGGGGUUGACUGGGUCAAACUGACGCGUGGGUCCAGUGGGACCCACCUGUCAUACUCUGCUAGGUUAACUAGGGUUUAGGUUAAACUAAUUACUAUUUAUUUAAACUAACAGGUUAAUUAGAUUAAUUAAAUAUGAUUAAUUAACUUAAUUAAUUAAUUAAUUAAUAAAAUUAUUAUUAUUUUUAUUAUUAAUAUUAUUAUUAUUAUUUUUUCAAAAAAAAACGUUCUGGGCGGGCCCCAUGUGCCAUAGGCACAAGGGCCAUAGCGGAUUCGGGCAGCGGUUAACGGGGCGGGCGCUGGUUACGGGCGCUCGUGCCCGAGGCCACCAGGGGCGGGGAGCAAGCCAGGAGGGCGCGCGCCGGUGGCCACGGCGCGGCUGGAGCCGGGGGGAACCGGUGGCCGGAGGCAGCGCAGAGGGGCGAAGGGAGCAGGGGGCGUGGGCGAGGCAGACGUCAGGGCGGCCGUGAUGGCCAACGGUGCGGCGACGUCGGUGGCGCAGGGGACGAAGUGCGGGGCCGGCGACGAGUAGGCCCGCAGGCGACAGAGGAGCAACCGCAGGGGUGGACGCGGUCAGGGGCGGCGAUGCGCGCCGCGGGCGGGCGUGGAGGCCAGGGAGCGCCAGGCGGGNNNNNNNNNNNNNNNNNNNNNNNNNNNNNNNNNNNNNNNNNNNNNNNNNNNNNNNNNNNNNNNNNNNNNNNNNNNNNNNNNNNNNNNNNNNNNNNNNNNNNNNNNNNNNNNNNNNNNNNNNNNNNNNNNNNNNNNNNNNNNNNNNNNNNNNNNNNNNNNNNNNNNNNNNNNNNNNNNNNNNNNNNNNNNNNNNNNNNNNNNNNNNNNNNNNNNNNNNNNNNNNNNNNNNNNNNNNNNNNNNNNNNNNNNNNNNNNNNNNNNNNNNNNNNNNNNNNNNNNNNNNNNNNNNNNNNNNNNNNNNNNNNNNNNNNNNNNNNNNNNNNNNNNNNNNNNNNNNNNNNNNNNNNNNNNNNNNNNNNNNNNNNNNNNNNNNNNNNNNNNNNNNNNNNNNNNNNNNNNNNNNNNNNNNNNNNNNNNNNNNNNNNNNNNNNNNNNNNNNNNNNNNNNNNNNNNNNNNCGUCGAGGCGAUGGGGGCGUCCGGCGACGGGGGCGAGGCGGCGGCGUCGCGGUCGUUGCCCCGAUCCAAAUGGGAUUGGGGAGUGGGGGAGCGAGGGAGUGGGGAGGUGGGGGUUAGGGUUUUCUGUCGGGGUGGGGAUAAGGGGAGUGGGGUGGCCGGUUGGUCCUGGUGGGCCGGUCGGGUGGCCGUGCGGCCUGGAGGCCUGCUGGGCCGGUUGGUCCAGCGUGGUGGGGGGGUUUGUUUCCUUUUUCUUUUUUUAUUUAUCUUUUCUCUUUUUUUGUUCUAUUUAAUUUUGUUUUAUAAAUUAUAAAUAUUGCACUAUAAUUAGUGGUUUAAAAUAUGUCACUACCACAAAAGUUUGGCAACUUUAAUUAAAUUAGUUAGAAUAAUUUUCUAUUGAAAAGGUAUUUAAAUAAUAGUUUAAGCCUCUGAUUUAAUUGCUUUAGUGUAUUCAAAUUCUUUAUAAAAAAAUGAUUUCUCCAACAAUAUUACUCAUGAAUUAUUUGUGAUAGUUUGUACUUUUUAGUUUUGAUUUUUGAAAACUUUAAAUUUUGACUUUGAUUUAAAUUUGAAUAUGAACCGGCUUUGACUCGAGUGAGAUUAGCAACAGUAAUGAUGGUGACCUGGCAUCAUUAGCAGGGGAUUACUGUAGCUUAAUUAUCCGGGCGUCACAACGAUCCCGCCGGCGCCACCCUCCAAUCCCCUGACUCGAGCCCGCUCGUCUCGAGCGCAACACGCCACGCCAUGCCUCCCGCGAGGUCGCCGACGCGCAGAUCGGCCCUCUCGAGCUCCUGGAGUCGGACGCCAGCGCCGCACCCUCCCAUCCUCUGCCUCCCACGAGGUCGCAACCAGUAGGUGGAGGGGAGCGGUGAACGGCGAAGAAAGCCGCGAGAUGGGAUUGGGAGGCAGGAGAAGGCCGGCGGCGCGUGGUGAGGGGCGGAGCGGGGCAGGAGGCGGCCGGCGGCGCGAGGGGCGUAGCAGGAGGUGGGCGGGGCGGGGCGGAGCGGAGCGCCGCGAGGUAAAGCGCCGCGAGGACGGGGAGUCUGGAUAAGAUGAAACAGAUGAAUCGCGGGUUGAAUACAUACAGAUGUAGGUUUUUUUCUAAAACGAAACGUUUUUUUCAAUAUCACGGGCACCCGAAUUAGUACCACCUCGGGUAUAUGUUUUAAAUUCGAACUGAAAUCGUAAAUUCACGGGAGGAAGCGUAUUGUGACGGUGAACCCGACAAAGUCAAUCUGUGCUUUAUUAUUACUAGUAAAAGGGCCCGUGCGUUGCAACGGAAAAAAAUAUCACACGUGGUUUAAGAUCUUAGCAAUCCAAUCACCGACUUGCAUAUGUCUAGUUCAUUCACUCCCGUGUCCAACCCGCUCAAGUGCCCAUUGCAUCUGGCUACAACGAUUCCACGAGCCCUCUCGCGGGGGCGACGAGUGUCGUCUGACCCCAGACGAACCGAUGUAUGUCCCUCCGAUAUCUUCUUAGCGUGUCCCUCAUCCUCGUCUCUCCCCCCAUUGCUCUUCCCACACUCUCGAUUCCUUCUCCCUAUCCAGCGGGGAACUACCACCAUGAGCAGCACUCCCAGUCCCCCUCUCAACGGUCCAGAUCGGAUCGGAUCGAGGCCACCACCUUCUUCCUCUCUUCCUUCACCAUGAGCAGUAGCAAAAGCAAGGAGGCCGCCGCCUUCCAGGUCACCGGUCGCCGUCGCCCAUCCCGGGCCGUCCCUCUCCUUAUUCCCUUGCUUCCUCUUCCCAAUUGCGAGAUUAAUCUCUGUUUUGCUAAUUUUAUGAAACGAAACUGCAAUUAGUAAUAGGAUCUUCAACGGGCAUGUGUUCCUCCUUUGAUUAUGCAAUGCUGAUCGGGAAUUAAAGUGCUAAAUUUUUUCUAUGUCCGAUCAGGAUUCCUUCAACAAUUAGAGAUUUCAUUUUUUCCUCCUUUGGCUUUGAUCAAUUCCAUCCCUUUCAUUCCUUUUUUGGCUUUCCUUCCUUCAUUAUUCUGUCAGAUUUGAACGGUCCCAUGAGAGCCUGCCUUACUUAAUUAGAGAUUCGGCUUUCCUUCCAUUGUUCUUCUCUCUCAGAUUUGAAUGGUCCCCCAUGAGAGCCGCUUAGUUCUCACACCCUUCGCUCAUUAAUUCAUGUGACGGCUGCUUGACAACAAGAAAAACUUAAAGGCGUAUAUAAAUUGGGAGGAUUUAAUGUAAGGGGGCGAGGUGGGACUAUAUUAUGCAUAAUAGUAAUUUUUUGUCUCUCCUUAUGUGGGUCGGCUUCAUUGAGCCCAGCGCAGGCUGCCUCCGCCUUGCCUUACGUGGAUAUAAGUGGGCCGGCUUGGAAAUAUAACGUCAGCCCAAAAGCUCAUCGCUCGAGGGAGCAGUUUAACCUGCGAAGCAUGGACUGGAGCAGUUUAACAAGAAAAAAGGUCAGAGAAUAGUACCACCUCGGAUGUAGGUAAAAAAAACAGAAAGCGUAAAUUCCCGGGAAGAAGCGCAUCGUGACGGUGAACCCACGGAGUCAAUCCGUACUUUAUUAUUAAAAAAAAAUAGCACAUAGCACAUAUGCCCGUGCGUUGCACCGGGAGAGAAAAUCUAUGUGUACUUAAAUUAAAUGUAAUGGGAAGCGGAGUGGAGCUAGCAGCAACCGUAUCUGAAUUAAAAAGACUUACUCUUUGCCGCUGUACUAAAAACCUUCAGGAUUCAUGUCGCGCCAGUCCAAAGGCUUCGGAGGCUUCCUGUCGCUCCCAUCCUCUUUGCCACUGGGCGAAGGAACUUACAAUUCUCCUCUCUGGAAGCAUAUGUAGCUUCAAGUAGUUGAAGGUAUGUGGAUGCAGAGGAAGAUGAGUAUAUGUUGAAUGUUAAUGUAAUCGUAAUCUAGAGAUUAUUAUCAGCAAAAUGGUACAUUUGCUAUGCUAAAAUUGGUUAAAAAAAUGGUUUAAUGGUAGCCUGUUGUAUCACAGAUCAUAAUACUGCUAUAAAUUUGUGUAAGCAAAAAACAAAAAGAAACAUGAACUGCCAUAUUCAAAUUCUAUCAAACCAAGAUACUGUUAUUCAUAAAUAUCUAGUGUAGAUAACAAUGCCCAAUCUGCACGAAUAGAAUAGUGGUUAGGAGAACCAGUUAAUUUUCUUGGAAAAACAUACCGAAAAAUAGAAGUGAUGGAGUGUAGCAGAUAAUCAAUAAUGUGUUGGAACAUUCAUUCACACAGUAAUAAUCUAUCAAAUGCUAGCAGUAAUGUUUCUCGCGGGAUGGGCCAAAAACAUCAAAGUAAACUAUAGGCAUCAUCAACCUAAGAUAGUAUCAAUGUUACUAAACACAUACCUUAAAGUGCAACAUGACUGUUAGUGUUUGAUAGGUUGGUAUGUGCCUCCUUAAACGCUGACCGGACUUGGGUCCACCUUGGCGCCCUCAGCUCACCCACCUCCUCAUCCUUAUUUUCAGUUAGUACCACGUACUCCCUGCCCUAUAAGCUUAGCAGCAUGUGCACCCGCUCCUGCAACACCAAGCCCACCGACCCAAAAUUACACUAUGAAGCAUCACAAACUACAAGAUGUUACAACAAGAACAACAUUCAGGUCUACAGCAAAAUUGAAGUCCACUCAAUCAUUUGUAAUACAUAACUUAGAAAUAUGUAUUGACAAUCAGAAGUGCUUCCUGUAAACAAAAUCUCAAAGGUUCUGCACCUGCAGGAACUUCCUUUUGAGUCAGAGACAUGUAGACAUGGCGGAUUCCGCUGAUUUUGGAGCGAUUCCUACACGAAGCUCCUUGAACUGAAGAAUGCGACAAGAGCAAACCCAUCAACUUGGUGCUUCACUAUUUUCAUUCAAAUCAGCCACCUAUGCAGGAAGGAACUAAAAGGGGAGGAGGGCGGACGGGUGAAAUUUAAGAAAUAAAGCUUUCGUAUGUGCAACAUCUCCAUAUGUUCCGACGUUCAACUUUUUUUAAAAAAAAAUGGGUCACAGCUUUAAAUAACAAAACUGAAUCACCUACAAUUCAUGAUGUCACACAAUGCUAACAAUAUAUGAAGUUUUACCCAUAUCAAAUGUUAAAUGAAUAAUCACUUUCUAAUUUAAAAGAGAUACAGAGUUCAGAAUAGUAUGAUGAAUAAAAAAAUGAAAAUCAACUAUGAGACACGAAUGUCAGGUGGCUUGCUAUGUUUUGUAGCACCGAUCUCCAUUACCAAAAUUGAGAUGCUGAGAAAUAGGAUUAAGAACUAAAAAAUCAACAAAGCUUAUCAAAAGAUAUGAAAAUGUUACCGUAUAAUUAUCAGACCAUCGAAUUGAUCCUUUUUCAGAUGUAGAAUUCGUCAUAUUAGGCAAUAGGAUCAAUGGACUCCUUGUGGGCUGACAUUGAGAAGCAUACAAUGGUAAUACAAUUCACCAGAUUAGCAACUCAAGUCCUUAACCCAUGCCACUUCCUUUGUUAAUUAGCAAAGCCAACUCCAAUAUGUCCGCUAAAGCAUUGUCCAUCUGCAAUGUCCUGUUUAAGAAAUUAAGACAUCAAAUUAAGCAUAGGAGGCCACUCCAGUUCUGUUAUCAAACUGCGGUGAUGUUUCAGGUCCUUAAUCAAAUUACAUUUGAAAAAUUGUCAGAACAAAUUAGAUAAAAUUAAACUAUUAAUUACUCAUGUCUAUAUGAUGACCCAAGCAAGGUGGCAACCAGAGUAUGUCGGAAUAGCUUUAUUGAGUGCUUAUAUAUCAUGGCCCAGAAUUGAAGGAUAUAUGAAAAAAAAGUGUAGGAAGAUAGAAGUAGAUCAAUAACAAAGUACCUAAAAUUACCAUACGUGCGAGAUGUCAAUGAGCCUCAAAUGCAAGCAGUGCCCUGUCGAGCACAUAGGCUGGAGCUAGGAGGCAAACC